RNAcentral lists this long non-coding RNA (56727 nucleotides) under Ananas comosus (pineapple). RNAcentral describes it as "long non-coding RNA (ACOM_LNC025958)". The record is from RNAcentral. Lineage: Eukaryota; Viridiplantae; Streptophyta; Magnoliopsida; Poales; Bromeliaceae.
UGAGAUUUUGAGAUUUUGAGUUAGGGUUUUUUAGUAAAUCCUUCGAAAUAGAGAUAGUUGGAAACUCUACGUGAUUCUAAUCUAGAUUAUCGAAAGAAUUAUGGAGAUUUUUGGGUUAUUUAGUGAGAAAUAGGUUUCUAGGGUUUUGAAAGAGGGCUUUAGGAUUUGUAGGGUUUUGAUCUAAAUUGAUCAUGUAAUCUUCUAAUCGAAGGUUGUCAAAGAACGCCGAGUAGCUUCGAUUCGAAGAGUAGUGGCGUUUCAGUGGUCAAUUGAGGAAAAUUGUGCUGAAAUCAAAGGAUUUCAUUUAUUAGCACCGAAAAGUGCCGAAUUUGCGUCGGAAGUUAAAUUGCUUGGAAUUCCUUGCAAUGUCACGCCCCGGAGUCCUUUUUAGGUUAAAACGCAGCGAAAUUUUUUUUUUGAAAACCUGACCCCAGGGUAUGCCAGAUCCACCACAAAUACAGGGAAUCCACUGUUCACACGGACAGAGUCUCCCCUGUAUUUGCACGGCGUCGCACAAAUACAAGAGUAUAACUAGGAUACAACAACCAUAAUGAAUAAACAACAAUCACUAUUCAUUCACCAUUCAUCACAGAUUUACCAUUCAUAGUUCAAUUCAUAAUUCCACGACUAUUAGUUAAAAUGUUUCCAACUCAGAAACGGGUUUUGAAAUACUAAGUUAUGAAAACUACGAAAAACCUUUUGAAAGCUGUUUCCCACACGGAGACUUUUGCUUUUUAAAACACGCUACCACGAGGGGUAAAAAAUUAUUUUUUUCUUUUUAAAACCGUAAAUCCUUUAUUCAUUUCUAGAAAUUCAUAUUACACAAUUGUAAUGACAAACUGAACCAAUAACUGUCUAAGUCAAAUAAUCCGAAAUAAUGAAAGUAACAGCAAAACUGAACAAACCGGGUCGGAAGCUCUAUCGACUGCUACGAAAGUGUCUCACGUCUCGUCUCACGUCUCACCACCCGCAAUACCUGAAAAAUAGUGGGGGAGGUGAGAACAUGUAAACAUGUCUCCCCUCCUAGUGGGUACCGCAAGCCGAAAAAGGCGAGGAGUACUCACCGGAUCAGGAAGAGAUAUAUAACAAUAUGGUAAACAAAUACUGAUGCUGAUAUAAAGAAACUACAGUAGCUAUAACAGAUAAAGAAGAAGUAAUAAACAAUACUGCUACUGUAAGGAAUGCAAAGCCAAGUAUGCCUCAAGGUAACCAAACCAAAACUGUACCCAAUCUGAUGCCUGCUAUAUUGGUCCGCAGACCUCAAGCGCUGCCUGUCACUGAACUGCACCGACCUGAUUCACCCGCCCCACAGGACGACCCAUCCGGAUAAGCACACCUACGGUCGGUGGCCAAACCGACCCGGUGUCGUGAAUACCCCCAAGUGUUGUGACUAAGUCAUGCUAGUAUGCUCAAUACAAAACCGACUGAAGCCGGUACCUAGGCCGAAGCCAGAAAUAAGGGCGUACAACGCCAAACUACGAUCAACCAGAUCGAAACAUAUGACAAGAGAGUCGAUGUGUUGCCUGGACCCAAGGUCCACAAAGUCCAACUGACCAACAAGGUCCCUGAUACGAAGUACGAGAACCGACCAACCAGGUCAACAGAUACGGAAUGCACAACCAACCAACUAGGUCAACAGAUAUUGAAUGCAACAACAGACCAACUAGGUGAACAGAUACGCAUGUAGAUAGAACUACUCUACUCCCACUCAAGAUACUAAACAUGCAAACAACGAGUAGAGUAUAGCGAAUAAAUAAAGGUGCAAGGCUCAAUAUACCAUGCGAUAGUAACAACAGAAGAGUAAAGGUAAGAAACCAUCACCAACCGUGCACCACUGUACAGACAUCAGAUCGAAGUACCCACCUGUAAGGAUGUCGCGUCUGUCUCCUGACUGCAAAAAAAUGUCGACAGGACCUAUAGAGGGUCCACCGGGUUAGUAUCUAACCCACAACUAAUAACCACAGUAUCCACAACCCCACAAACAAUUUCACGAAGAUCGGUUUCCCAAUACCGAUUACCGUAACUCGCCGGAAGUCCCGAAAACCACACCGGGACACCGUCGGGACCCACUAAGUGUCCCGAAACUCACCGACUCGUGUCACGAGUCACCUGCUGCCCCAAAACACUCCAAUUUGGAUGUUUUGGCAGCAAACACAAGAUAACACCACUACACAAUUAUCGCCGGAUAAUUGUACGAAUCCGGGUUCCCGAAAGUGUCUAUUUCAACACCGGAACCCACCGUCGCUCACCCAUCAUCACCGAACCCACAAAAUGAUGAUGGUGACCAGCCAACAAGGCUCAGCAAUAAUUUACAGGAUAACCAAACCACGUCGGAAGAAAUCCGAACCGAAAUCGCGUUCUUUCGGCGAAUUUCGCCGAAAAACGCGCCGGAAUCAACCUUUCGAUUUCCGCAAAGACUAUCGGAUCAUGGACAACCAGUCCAGAGGUCACCACACACACACAUGCACCGCCCACAGUAGCCACAAGGUGUACAAAUGCAUAAAAGUCCCUAUGUUUACAUAAAAUCCAUCAUUUUAUGUAAAUCGGGCAACUUCUAUGACUCGUUCUCACAAACUGAGGACUUCUAAGUUCCGCCGAGACAUGUACUGACAGGUCUCGACGUGCCGGAGGCCGUGCUCACCUUUCGAAGAACUGCCGGCCACUGUGGCACACGUGGGAGCGACUCGAAAUUCAGCAAAAACUGCGCGCUGAAACUAAAACGCUUCAAAUUAACACAUCCGACGCUCAUAGACCCUAAAUGAGGUGAGCACUGUGAUCAGCACUGAUGGACGAUCACCGUGCUUACCUCUGGAGGCAUCGGAAUAGCCUCGGGUCGCCGGAACAGAGGGAACAAUCCCGAACAGUGCACAAAACCACAAAACUCUGCUUACCGGCCAGGGGAGAGCUAGAGCUGGCCGGCAGCAGCCGGAAGGCGGGAGCUCCGGCCGGGGACGAGCGCGGAAGGUCGGAGGGGUCCGGGGCAGGUGCUGUCCGGCGGCGGAAGGCGGCCGGUGGCGCAGCGGCACAGAUCAACCCGCGACUUGCUCUCGGGUUCAUGGGUUUCCUGGCGGCGCGGCGGCGGGGAACGGCGGUGGCGCGCGGAGGCAGGGAUCACCCAGGCUCGACCUGGGUGACUGCUGCUGGCCGCAAGGAGCUCGGGCACCUCCGGCGGGGCGCGGGGACGGCGGAGGUCGGCGGGUACUGCGCCGGGAAUGGGUCUCGACCGAGGGAAAGGCUUCCUAGGGUGUCUUGGGCCUUCUCUGAUGUCGAAAGCCGAGGGGGUGGUGGCAAGGUGGAGGAAAGAGGUUGAUCAAGCCAUUCCGGCGGCCGGGGAAGCUCGCCGGCGGCCGGGGUGCGCACACUGCUAGGGCAUGGACCCGCAGAUGACGGCUAGGGCACAGAUAGGGGGCUAGGUCGAGUAGAUCUAGGGUUUCGUGCAUAGAAACCCUAGAUGCACACUAUAUACAUAGUGCAAUUUCGCACAAAAGUCCACCGAAGCUUUGUAUUUCUUACCCAGUCCUUCAUAGUAGGUAACUAUCGCGUAUUCGCACCUCCACAUUCGAUCUCGUGCGAUUCGGUCCAUAAAAUAUGGGGACAUUUGCGAAGUUUCCGAUUUGCCACAAUCGACCCCUUUCCAAACAUCAUGCAAUAUCCGGCAAUCCGUUCAUCGAAUUUUCGAACGGAUUAUACCAUCGCGUUCAGCACGACGAAGGCAAUGAAACUAGGAUCUUUCUUUGUCCGAUUUGGUCUCCGAUUCGCGACGAAACCAACACUCUUUGUUUCCACCAAAUAACUACUUAUAUGAAAAUAUGUAAUUUCAAUCAAACCCCUUUUUCUCGACAUCCGUGUAUCAGAACCUAAUUCUAUCAUUGCCAUUGGGUCCAGAAUGGUCGAGCCGUUUGAAACGAGCUAUUGGAGUGCUAUGAUCGGACUCCAAUACGCGCCAGAAGCCAACUCUACUCCGUGGCUUCACCGAAAAACCGGGUUACUAUUCACUUUAAGUGAAAACUAAUAAUCGCGUAACUUCUCCAUUCUAACUCGUUUUUUUCUGAAACUUGACGAGUGCUUAUGUAAUUAAAUUACAUACAUAAACAUCGUCAACAGAGAGUUUAGUUGCACUGUCAAAAUCUCAGUCCUUACAUGCAAUUGGCAUCGAAUCGAGGUGGGCGGUGCUACUCAGAAUAGUUGAAUUUCUUUCUAUAUUUAUGUUGCCAUUUUUGAUCAUAUAUGUAUAUAUAUGUAGAAAUCAUGCAUUUAGGGUUAUUAUUGUGUUUGAGCUUUCAAUUUCCUCGCAUACUUCCUAAAGUAGAGUUAGACAACUUGGGUCAGGAACUCGGACACAGACAUUGGGAACCCUAUAAUGCAAGGAAUGAAAAUGUGAACUAGAAAACAUUAUGAAACAUUGGUGACAUAAACUUGGUGGCAUGUCAUAACUAGUUAUGUAUGAUAGCACUUAGUGGUAUAUUGCCAUAGAGCAUAUGAAUUGAGGCAGAUGCUAGGAAUUGGUCGAUUCCCCUGAUGUUGCUACCCUAGUUAGUAGGGUACCCUCGGGAUGAGAGGACUAGAUCAUACUCAUAUUGUAUGUUUGGCUUGUGGUGGUCACAACACUACAAGCAGUGAGUUCCGGAGUUGUCACACAUGGGUUCGGCGGAAUUCUGCCUAGCAGACGUCUCUAGUUUGGGUUGAGCGGAAUUCUCCUCACUAGAUGGCCCUGGUUUUGUGAGUGGGCUCAACCUUCGGGUGAACCAAUAUGAUUGGAUUAAAAGGUAAAAUUGCUAAGCAUCAUGAGGAUAGAAACAUUUAUUGUUUACCCAGUUUUAUAUUGUAUAGGUAUAGUAGUUGUAUCAGGUGCAUAUUAUUGUCAAUUUCCUUCUUACUACUUAUACUUGAUUAGACCUAGUGGGAAAGUCGGCAGGGUCAACGGUCGAACCCAUUGGGAACUUCUUUUAGUUCUUACCCCCUUAUUUUGCAGAGCCAAGCACGAGUGGAGCGGUCGAAAAUCGCGACAAGGGCACAGCGCACUAGGUAAUGGACUCUCGUGCAUUAACUUACCCUGUAUAAAGAGUGGUGCUUUUGUAUUAUGAGAUAACUUGUAAGGCUUCACUUGAGAGAUGAAAAUAUGUAAAUGUCAUGUAAUGAUGCCUGUAUGUGUUAUGUGCGGGAGUUGAUGUAUUUUGGAAUAAUGAAUGUGAAGCUUAAGUGUUUUAGUUGUAAUAGUUAAGUAAUCUAUCUCUCGCUCCUAUAUUAUUGUCCUCAUGCAAUUCAUGUAUGUUGUUGUUAUUCUUGGGCAAAAACUCUAUGUACAUGAUGUUGUUUAUGCCUUGGGUGGACAUGGGAGGCUCUGUCCGUUCGGUAGUUUGUACGUAGGGGUGGAAACGAGCCGAGCUCGAGCGAGCUUACCUCGGCUCAAAUUCGGCUUGAAAUUAAUUUCGAGCCUAAAUUUAAGCUCAAGCUUGGAUUGAAAUUAAUUCGAGCCGAGCUCGAGCGAGCCUAAUUUCAAGUCGAGCGAGCUCGAACCCUAAACGAGCCGCUUGAAAUUCUGAACAUUAUACGAUCAAUAGUUUAAUUUGUAUAGAACAUUAUCUAUAAUUUGAUACAAAAAUAUGUCUAAUAGUUCAAAGUACAAAAUAAUUAUAUGAAAACAUAGUAUAUAAUAAUAUUAAAAAAUAUCAAUUAUGCAGUUGAAUAUCUAUUGUUUUCAGCCUCACAUGUCUUUUCUUCCGCUUCAAUUUUCUAUAUUAUCAUUUGCAUUUAUUGCGAUGUGUUCAUUAAAAUUAAGAUAAACUAUACGUAUAGUUAUAAAAUAUGGAUUAAACUACCCAACGUCAUAUUAUAAGUUAAAUAAUUAAAAUUUUAUAUGAAUAAUAAUUUUUUUACUUUUAAAAAUAUUCUGCUAUAUUUUUUCAAGAUACAAGAAUUAUGUUGUAGAGUUUGUAGGUGUCUUAUUUGUAUAGCGGUUGUGGUGUUUGUGCGUUUUGAGUGUUGAUGUGAUGAUGGAUCUCGUGGGAUGUUUAGAGGGCUUCCGCUUGGCACUUAGCGCGUGGAGGCAAGAAAAUGAGAAAGGAGAGAAACAGAUUGAAAAUUAAACUCUUGUAAAAGAAAGAAAAAAAUAAGAAAGGAAAAAAAUAAUAAAUUAGUAAAAUAUUCGCUCUUUUAUUUGUCUAUUUGGGUUUAUUUUUAAUGGGCCAACAAAAUGGCCAAUUUUAAACUAAAGCUCAGCAUGUAUUCACUCAGCCUAUAUAUUAAGUAAAGAUAUCUAUAACGAAUAGAUAUAUAUACAUAUUAUACUUAUAUAGUAUAUAUUAGUGUAGAGCUAACUUGCUAUCGAAAUAUAAAGGAUUGAUGUUUUUUGAAUUUUUGACCCUUUGUUAUUUAAAAUUAUAUGUUGGGAAUGAUUGCAGGUCUCCCCGAGUGAUUAAAUAAUACUCUUAGCCGCAUUGAGUCGCCCCUACAAUGGUAAUAAUAAUAUUAAUCCAAAGAUAAGAAACGAUUAAAGGGAUUGAUCUAAGAAUAAAAAAAUCGAAAGCACCAGAUCUCUAUACUUUCGAUAGCAUAGUAGCUCUACUAUAUAUAUAUAUAUAUAUAUAUAUUUGAGCUUUUCGAGCUUUUCGAGCCUAAUUCGAACGAGCCGAGUAAUACUCAAGCUCGGCUUGAAAUGAAUUUCGAGCCUUUUUUUUUGUUCAAGCUCAGCUCAUUUAAUUUCGAGUCGAGCUCGAGCGAGCCAAAUAUCGAGUCGAACGCGAGUCGAACGCGAGCCGGCUCGCUCAUUUGCCAGCCCUAUUUGUACGCGCGCCCGAACCGACCAAAGUGGCAGUCUUGAGGUGUAACAUUUAGCCUGAGUUCUCUAUUGGAACUUCACUUAUCUGUGGCACUUGCUAUGUUUGGUUGCUCGACUCGGGUCGAACUUAGAUGGUCGAACUUGAUGAAUCUUCGAUUAGGAACUAAUGAACUGGUCCGGAACAAUCAAACCAUCCGGAUAAGUUUCAACUGUUGCGAAUAAGGCGGAGGCCGUUCCAACUACUUCAGUUAGGAUAAGGCGGAGGUGGUUCCAACUACUUCGGUUAGGAUAAGGCGGAGGUGGUUCCAACUACUUCGGUUAGGAUAUGGGUCAAGGAGGUUCCAACUAAUUCAGUUAAAAUAUAGAUCGAGAGGGUUCCAACUAAUUCGGUUAAGAUAUGGAUCGAGAGGGUACCAACUAAUUCGGUUAGGAUAUGAAUCGAACUAAUUCGGUUAAGAUAUGAAUCGAGACGGUUCCAACUAAUUCGGUUAGGAUAAGAUCAAUGUGGUUUCAACUACUUCGGUUAGAGUAAGAAUAAAGUUGUUAUUUUCAAAAUAUUUUGUUCUUAUUUUCUUGUUAGCCGGAAGGCUAUAAAUAGAGGCCCUACUAGCUCUUAUAAAUCAUUCCAAUUUUAGAGAGAAUUAAUAUACAGACUCUUCCACAUACAAAUAUUGUGUUCUUUUCUUUUUUUUUCUUGUUAAUCUGGUUUCAAAUAUCCAUCGAGGAGGCACUGCGACAUUGCUUCCUCCGUCGAUGGAUCAGGUGGUAUCAGAGCAUCUGACCCUAGUGUAAGGUGUGAAUUAGAAGCGUCUACAAAGCUACCGGCGAACAACUCUCCAUCCUUGACAUCUUCCGCAAGCCAUCGGCGAGGAAAACGAAAAGCACAUCUAUCAUGUCUGCAGACGAGCAGAUAGCAAUGCCAUCCGACCUUGCCGCCAAGGUCGCCGUGCUGUCCGACGACAUGAAGACCGUUUUAAAUUGGAUCAAGACCCAAUCUGCAGCACCAUCGGCAAUGCCGAUGGAGAAGAGCGGUCGGCUCGUAGGAACUCCUCCAAAGGCACGUGUGACGCCGAUGAAGGACGCUGCUGAGGAUACCUCGGGUGUGCGAGACGACGACGACUCUGACGAUGAUGGAAGCUUAGCUCCGUCGGUUGUAGAAGGGAGGUCGCAACUGUUUAAGGUUGAGGCCAAGAUCGAGAUCCCCGACUACGACGGUGUUGUCGACACCGAAAAGCUGGAUGCCUGGCUUGACCAACUGGAGACGUACUUCGACCUCUACAACUAUAGCAACGAGGAAAAGGUAACUUUCACAAAACUAAAACUUGUAGGUCAUGCUUUGACUUGGUGGACGGCCACUCUCCAAACUUCCGCCAACGAGGAGUUCACCUGGAGUCAAUUUAAACGACAGAUUCGCCAGGAGUUCUACCCUAUGGGAUAUGAAGAAGAGCGAUGGAAGCGCUGGCAUCUCUUGCGCCAAAGACGCGACCAGACAGUGUAGGACUACACCACCGACUUCCGGCGCCAAGCCUUGGCGCUUGGCAUCUCCCUCGACGAUCCAUAGGUUUUUCGUAAAUACACCGCGAGCCUACAGGAGCGCAUCAAUGAUGAGUUUCGUCUUUUCAGUGUUCGUGAUAUCGCCUCGGUGAGCCAAACAGCCAUGGCAAUUGAACGAAAGAGCAAACUAUCUUGCGAAGAGAAGCCAUCUAGAGAGUCUGUUGCGGGCUCGAAAAAGUUCAAAAAAAAGGGCUCUAAAAAGAAGGGGUCCUCUGAUCCUGAUUUGUACUGUGAUCAUUAUAAAGUCACAGGACAUGUCAAGGAUUGAUACUGGAAGCUCCAUCCAGAGAUGAAACCAAAGAAAAAGGAUGAUCGUAGUAAACGCACAACAACAACGGCAACGACAUCCGUAGGAUCGACAAGUGAUGCUCCUACCUUAAUCGGACAGAUUGAUCAAACAGACACUAGCUUGUCUUUGAUGGCUAUGCCGAAGGAGACAAGCCUGUGCCCGUCAAGUCCAACUGAUAAGAGAGAGGAGUUCUUCACUUUUCGAGUUCAAGUAAAAAAUAAGAUGAUCGAUGCCAUCAUCGAUCCCGGCAGCCAAAAGAACUUGAUCUCAGAGAACCUAGUUCAAAGGCUGUGUUUGUCGACUACACCACACCCACACCCAUAUCCAUUAGGGUGGAUUAACAGCAACAUCGAGAUGAACAUUGAUCGCCAAUGUAAGGUGAAGUUUGCACUGACCGGCGUCUACAUCGACAAAAUGCUGUGCGAGUUUGUGCUGUUGAACAUUUGCAACCUCAUCUUCGGCAGUCCCUACCUAUAGGACCAUGACGCUACCUUUUUACGUCGUCCUUAGCAAUACCAAUUUAUUAAGGAUGGACAAAAAUUUUUGUUCACCAUAGAGCCAUUAUCAACAACUGUAGACCUGGUAACCGCUUGCCAGGCCAUGAGAAUGAUCAAUGCCUGUCAAAAAUUUGCCUUACUCGUCAUUCAGCCAGUUAUAUCUGAGGAGGCAAACAAUAAGAUAUUAAGCCUAGUAUGCAAGGAAAAAACUGAUAAUGUAGCUAAACUUAUCGGUGAGCAUCAGGUUCUAUUUCAAGAAGUACGGGGACUGCCACCAAAGCGAGCCGUGGAACAUGAGAUCCAAUUGAUCAACAACGCUCCAUUGCCAAAUCUCGGCAUGUACCGAACCUCGGUGGUGGAGAAUGAGGAGAUAAAGCGACAGGUGACUAAGUUGCGCGAGAGUGGUGAUAUCAAACCGAGUAGCUCCCCCUGUAGCUCUCCGAUUGUGAUGGUGCCAAAGAAAGACGGCGGGUGGCGAAUGUGUAUCGACUACCACGCUCUCAACAAAAUCACCAUCAAGAACCGGUACAUCUUACUGCGGAUCGAUGAUCUCUUGGACCAACUGAAGCACGCUCGCUACUUCACCAAACUGGACCUAAACUCUAGCUAUCAUUAGGUCCGGAUCCGAGAGGAUGACACCUGGAAGACCGCGUUCAAGACUCGACAAGGCCUGUUUAAAUGGCUCGUCAUGCUAUUCGGCCUUUGCAAUGCACAAGCCACUUUUAUGCGAUUGAUGAACGAUGUUAUAUGCCCCUUCCUCGAUGACUUCGUGAUCGUCUACCUCAACGACAUCCUCAUCUACAGUCGAUCGUGGGAGGAGCAUCUGGUGCAUGUCAAGAAGGUCUUCAUGCUGCUCGAGGAACACCAACUCCGCUUAAACCCUAAAAAGUGUGAGUACGGCAAGCAAAGCCUGGUGUAUCUCAGGUUCGUGGUGGGCGGCGGCGAACUUCAGAUCGACCUCGACAAGGUCAGGGUCAUCAAGGAGUGGCUUAGGCCCAAAAAUGUAACGGAGGUGCGUAGCUUCAUGGGUGCUUGCUAAUAUGUCCGAAAGUUUAUCCGACACUUUUCUGUCCUUACUGCCCCUCUACAUGCACUAACGAAGGUACAACGCUUCUUGGAGAGCAUUCAUAAAGUACAUAGCGAGGUGGAGCGACAAUUACAAAAAUCUCAGGAGAAGUAUAAAGAACGACAUGAUCAACAUCGAGUGAAAGGCAAUUUCCGAGAGGGUGAUCUCGUCUAGCUCCAUCUCAACAAAGAGCGCUUAAAAGGCAAGGGUAAGAAACUUAAACCAAUUCGUUAUGGACCUUUCAAGAUCCUAACCAGAAUUGGUGAGAAUACUUAUCAAUUGGAGUUACCCGCAUACCUGAGGAUGUAUUCGGUCGUCAAUGUCGAAAACCUAAUGUCCUUCGAGCCAUCAAUGUUGGACGAUGAGCCCAAAUAAGUACUGCCAUCCGUGGAAGAUCUCGUGGUGGAACGCGAAGAGCAGCUAGCUGAGGAUACUAUCCUAGAAUGCAAGGUCACGACGACACGCAAAGGUGAAUGUGAAUCCUUCUGUGUUGGACGGAAAGGUCAAAAGCCAAGUGCCGCUAAGUGUUUCACAAGGAAAACUGGGAAAACUCAAUUUCCUCAUUUGCAGUUCUAAAUCCUGCAGUUGUUGGUUCCUCUCAAAAAUUGGGGAGCCAUGAUCCGGGACGAUCAAACCAUCCGGAUAAGUUUCAACCGUUGCGGAUAAGGCGGAGAUCGUUCCAACUACUUCAGUUAGGAUAAGGCAGAGGUUGUUCCAACUACUUCGGUUAGGAUAAGGCGGAGGUGGUUACAACUACUUCGGUUAGGAUAUGGGUCAAGGAGGUUCCAACUAAUUCGGUUAAGAUAUGGAUCGAGUGGGUUCCAACUAAUUCGGUUAGGAUAUGAAUCGAACUAAUUCGGUUAAGAUAUGAAUCGAGACGGUUCCAACUAAUUCAGUUAGGAUAAGAUCAAGAUGGUUUCAACUACUUCGGUUAGAAUAAAAAUAAAGUUGUUAUUUUCAAAAAAUUUUGUGGCCAAUUUGCAUAAAAAAUCCACUUAUUUUGGGCUUUUGCAAAACCGGGCCACCUUUUUCGUUUUUGCAGAUUCGGUCCACUUUUUCAGCAAACUGACCAAAAUACCCUUUUUACUUUUUCUCUUUCCUCUUUCUCUCUCCUCUUCGUUUCUCUCGUUCUUUUUUUUUCUCGCCGGCAGAGCGGAGGCGGAAACGGUCCGUCUCGCCUCCCACCCUCAUUCUCUAGCACUCGCGCGCCCUCACCCUCGCCCUUGCCCUUGUCCACGCACCUCCUAACUUCCUCGCCUCCAACCCCGCUAAGGCCGCGCCACGACUUUUUUUUUUUUUUUGCUUUUUUCUUUUCUUUUCUNCGCGGCGCGGCCUUAACGGGGUCGGAGGCGAGGAAGGUGGGGGUGCAUGGACGAGGGCAAGGGCGAGGGCGAGAGCAUGAGGGUGAGAGGCGAGACGGACCAUUUCUGCCUCCGCUCCACUUCCGCUCUACCCGCGAGAAAAAAAAAAAGAACGAGAGAAGUGAAGAAGAGAGAGAAAGAGGAAAGAGAAAAAGUAAUAAGGGUAUUUUGGUCAGUUUGCUGAAAAAGCGGACCGAAUCUGCAAAAAUGAAAAAGGUGGCCCGAUUUUGCAAAAGCUCAAAAUAAGUGGAUUUUUUAUGCAAAUUGGCCAAAUUUUGUUAUUAUCUUCUUGUAAGCCGAAAGACUAUAAAUAGGGGCCCUAUUGGCUCUUAUAAAUCAUUCCAUUUUUAGAGAGAAUUUAUAUAUAGAGUCUUCUACAUAUAAAUAUUGUGUUCUUUUCUUUUCUUUUUCUUUUUAAUCUGGUUUCAGAUAUCCAUCGAGGAGACGCUGCGACAUUGCUUCCUCCUCCGACGGAUCAUGAACUCCAACGAAUUGAAAUUUUAGCUUAGAACUCUAGAUGACCAGAACGUCAUGACGAUGAACUUUGCAAAGCUAAUUAAAUCUACCAAACUAUAGAUUUUAAUUUGGUACCGGUACUGGACUGAAGUAUCGGUACUCAAUUGCGAAGAGAUAGGGAGAGUUCUCUGGUUUUGCAAAACUCUCCCAAGUAUCGAUUAUAAUUUGCUGAGUACCGAUACUCAUUCGGGCACGUCUAGUACACAAUAGACAACAGUGAAAUCCAGUGUUCGGGUUCUGUGGAACUGGUCUAGAGUACCGAAACUGCUGAGUGGUAUACUGGUACUAAAGCUCGCGUAUCAGUGCUCAACUCUGCGAACAAUAUAUUUCAGCUAGUUGCAGAUAUGAUUGAUUAGAGAGUUUAAAUGAAAUUUUAGCACUCCAUAUAACCCUUCAUAGCCAAACACUCAUUUCUCUCUCACACAUUAUCUCUUCUCCCUCUAAAAGGGAAAAAAGCCUUGCUUUGUCCCUAUUGUUGGAUCUCUUUGAUCUAUCACAUUGGAGGCUUAGAGGAGAUCUAGAACGCCAACGAGAAGCUCAUGGAGGGAGAAGGCAACUAUCUCAACCCACAUUCGUUCCAUUUGGAGGAGAAGAGAUGAGUUGAAGUUUAGGAUUUGUUUUUAGAGCUUUUUUCAAAUUGGAGAUUUUUGGGUUCUAACUUGAUUAGAACUUCUUUUUAGGGUUUAAUUUCUUGAGGUUCUAAUGAGAUAAUUAAAAAAGAAUCCCCUAAGAAGAUUUAAGUAGAGAUGGAGAAUAUCACUGAAAUAAAUUUGAUUUUCUUUUGGUCUAAAGUUUUUUUAGUUCAAAUGCAUGUAUUUUUAUAUAGUGUAGACCAAGAUGUCAUGCAUGUGCGUGUAAGGAGACUUGAGAGGUCUUAUGGGCUUAGGAGCACUUGACCUAAAAAAUAAGAUUUUCAACCUAUUUGCCAUGUUAAAAUAUGAGCACAUGCCAUAUGUAAAUCGAGUAUUAUGUGAACCUUAAAACAUAGAUGACUUUAUAGAGGUAUUAAACCUAGGAUGGAACCUAAGGUGCGGCACAUAAUGACACAUGAAUUCUGAACAAAACUUGAGCUUGAGAAGAAGGAAAUUUGUGAAUGAACUUUGCGAAUAUCCUAGCGGACAUGAGAACUUAAGGUGUUACUAAGAUAUAAGUCAUGACCUUCUGGAAGUGUUAUAUUGGGUGAUGUUGAUUACCCUUGAUGCCCUACUCCAUAUAGGGUGAUGCCGAUUGCCCUCGACACCCUAUAUUGUUCUUGGAGCAAUUUCCUUCGACUCCAAAUGCCUACUGAUUGGAGUUGUUGAUUGCCUUCAACUCUUCAUGAAGUGUUUAGCAAGAGGUGGAACCAAACUAAAUGGUUGGUUAGAGAGAAAAAAGAUUGGGACAAUCAUGUAGGCCAAUGACAUAAUAAAUCAUUAUAACUUAUUGUAUAUACUUGAGGCAUAAUAGUUGUACCUUUUUUCUAUGCAUUACUAUUGUAGUAGCAAUAGAUUUAUUUAUUAUUAUUAUUCUACUAAUGCCUCCUUUAGACUGAGUGGGUGUGGACCGCCACAUUUCACAGUUGGGCCUAUUGGAAACUUAUUUUAUGUUCUCAGCCCAUUGUUGUUGAUAUCUUUUUCAGAGCCAUCUAUCGCUAGUGAUGCGCGGGAUCGUGCAAGAGCGUUGCGAGUUAGAUAGACCGUGUUAGUCAGUCUAGAGGGUACUAUAAUUUGUUAGAAUAACAAACAUGUAAUAUGUUAGGAUGCAAUGAGUAGUAACCUUUAAAGAAGUUUUGAUUGUAUUAGUUUUAAUUUAGAAGUUAAACACUCUGAUUCUUUAUUGUACUCAUUUCAUGUAUCUGUUGUACAGGUUGGUGCAUAUUUUCGCUUCGUACAGAUAAUGGGAACCUUGCCCGUUUGGCGGGUCUAUUGCACAUGGGCCAUGACACUCAGAAUCCAACUUUCUUGAUAAACUCCAAUCUUAUUCAAAACUAAUCACGAUAAUCUGUAAGAGCUAAAGUGAGCUCAGCUACUUGUUUACUCAUGUAGAGUCACGCCCCAGCAAGUGGGUACGUCCUCCAGAGGUGUAGCCCUACAGUUGGCAUAUACUCGAGCCCUCGAGCCAUUUUAGUUGGGCAUCGGUGCAGGUUUGUUCGUUUUUGGCAGCUCGCCAGACACAACGCAGGCUUAACCAGACUCGGAGCUGGUCGCCGUAAUUGGGCAACAUUGACAAAGUGAUUUAACACAAUUGACGCAUAAUGUUCUAGAUUAGAUGAUUGAUAUAAAGGCUUACUCUUAUAGAGGCAUAAUUGUAUCGUCACAUUCAUUAGAAUAAUCAAUCUAUUGUUGUUGCGAAAGGUCUCUUUUCUCUGAUCGAUCGCUUAUGCAAUAUUUAUAAUUUGUUAAAUUCGAAUCAGAAUCCAACCUUUCUAAUAAACUCAAAUCUUAUUUGGAAACUGAAUCACGAAGAUUUGGGCUGAAUCAAACCAUCUAAUAAUUGAAUCUUGAUAAUUUUGGCCAAAUAUUAGAACUGCGAAAUGCUUUUCGCUCGCCAAACAAUGAAUGACAAAGAUUGCCUUCUACUAUUUUCAUCCAAUCAAUUAAUUUGUAUUUUACUCCUCCACGAGCUUUCCUUCGAGAAGAAAAGCCCCACCGCUGCAUUCUAAUUCAGGCCAACUUGGUCCGUGACUGUCUGAAAUAUAAAAAGGCAGACAAGGACUUCACAUGGUAUCUUAGUCCAACUACAUCACAUUAUAUGCAAUAAUUAUCCGAUAGCUUCGACAAAGAAAGGAGUUAAAGAAGCUAAAACCAAAAGGAAGCUGCUCUUUUUCUGAGAAGUUUGGCAAAGAUAACGCCUCUCACUUUCUAAAGUCGCCAACAAUAUGAUGACAAGCGAGAGUGCCUAGCAUGUUAAUGAAAGCAAAAAAAAUUUCUUUAAAGUACACCAGUCUUCACUUUUAAAAAGAGAGAUGUUAUUGGCAUGUUAUUGAUGGUGUGAUACAAAUAUGACACGUUAAACUUACUCGAUAAAAGUGAUCCGUGCUAUUAUUAUUGCUAAUUAAUUUUUAUUCUUACUAAAUAUACAAUAUUGAAAUAUUUUUUUAGCUAUUUAAAGUUUUUGAAAAUUAAUAAUUAUUUUAUAUACUAUUAGAACUGAAGAUCUGUUAAGCUCCUAAUUUUUUUAUAAAUCCUAUUUCUUUAUCCAUUUAAUUUAGUUUUCAGCUUAAACUUGUAAAGAGGAUUAUGGUUGUUUACAAGUAUUAAAAACCAAAAAACACAGGCCAAUUUGCAUAAAAAAUCCACUAGUUUUGGGGUUUUGCAAAACCGGGCCAUCUUUUUCGUUUUUACAGAUUCGGUCCGCUUUUUCGGCAAUCUGACCAAAAUACCCUUAUUAUUUUUUCUCUCUUCUCUUUCUUUCUCCUCUUCUUUUGUCUUGUUCAUUUUUUUUCCCUCUCGCCGAAGAAAGCAACGGAGGCAAAGGCAGAAGCGGAGGCGGAAACGGCCGGCCUCGCCUCUCACCUUUAUGCUCUCGCCCUCGCCUUUGCCCUCGCCCGCGCACCCCCCACCUUCCUCGCCUCCGACCCCACCGAGUCCGUGCCGCGAUUUUUUUUUUCCUCUCCGACUCUCUUCCACCGUCCCUGACAACGACACAUCUCUCGACUUUCCCCGCCCUUCUUGUCUUCUCCCUCUCUCUCCUCCUUUGCCGCCUCCGAUGGCGAUGCAUCUUCACCGACGUCGAUACCGUGGAGAUCGCUGCAGCGCUGCAGCCUCGGAGCGGGGGGUCCUUAGCGGCAUCGUCGCCGACGCCGUGGCCGUUGACAGAGAGGGGUAAUAAAAAAAAAUUAUAGAAAAAGCAAGAAAAAAAAUAAAGAAAAAAAAUUAUAGAAAAAUAAGAUGAAGAUGAAAUUGCACCGUUAAAAAAAAAUUAUACUAUUUUAAAAAAAUGUUGCACUAUUAUGGACAUAAGUUGUACUACUUAAGAUGUAAACUGCAGCUUUAAGAUGAAAAUUACACUCUUUAAACAAAAAUUGCACUCUUUGAGAGAUAUUUACACUGUUUCUCCUCUUAUUGCACUCUUUCAGAUGUAAACUGUAUACAUUAAGAUGAAAGUUACACUCUUGGAGAGAUAUUUACACGGUUUCUCCUCUUGUUGUACUCUUUCAGAUGUAAACUGCACCCCUUUAAGAGAGAUUUAUACUGUUUCUCCUCUUGUUGCAUUGUUUCUCCUCUUGUUGCACUAUUUCUUCUCUUAUUACACUAUUUUUCUUCUUAAACUGCACCCUUUAAGAGGAGAAACUGUAUAACAAGAGGAGAAACAGUUAUAAAUAUCUCUUAAAGGGAUGUAGUUUACAUUUCAAAGAGUGCAAGAAGAAGAGAAACAGUAUAAAUAUCUCUCAAAGAAUGCAACUUUCAUUUAAAGAGUGUAAUUUUUAUCUUAGUGGGUGCAGUUUAUAUCUGAAAGAGUGCAAUAAGAGAAGAAACAGUGCAAAUAUCUCCCAAAGAGUGUAAUUUUAAUUUAAAGAGUGUAAUUUUCAUCUUAAAGCUGCAGUUUACAUCUUAAUAGUGCAACGUUCUUUUAAAACAAUGCAAUUUUAUUUUAACGGUGCAAUUUCAUUCUCAUUUUUCUUUUUCUAUAAUUGUUAAUCUUUAUUUUUUUUCUUACUUCUUCUAUAUUUUUUUUUGUCACUCGUCUCUACCAACGCCGGCGACAACGCCACUAAGAACCCCUGCUUCGAGGCUGCAGCGCCGCAGCGACCUCUACGGUGUCAGCGUCGACGAAGAUGCGUCGUCGUCGAAGGCAGCAGAGGAGGAAAGAGAGGGAGAGGACAAAAAGGGCGGGGAAGGGCAAGAGUGGCGUCGUCGUCGGAGAUGGUGGAGGAGUUUCGGAGAGAAAAAAAAAAGAGUUGCGACGCAACCUCGGUGGGGUUGGAGGUGAGGAAGGUGGGGGUGCACGGGUGAGGGCGAGGGCGAGAGCAUGAGGGUGAGAAGCGAGACGGGCCGUUUGCGCUUCCGCCUCUGCCUCCGCUGCCUCUUCGGGGAGAGAAAAAAAAAUGAACGAGAGAAAAAAAGAGGAGAGAGAAAGAGGAGAGAGUAAAAAUAAUAAGGACAUUUUGGUCAGGCAGCUGAAAAAGCGGACCGAAUCUGUAAAAAUAAAAAAGAUGGUCCGAUUUUGCAAAAGCCCAAAACUAGUGAAUUUUUUAUACAAAUUGGGCAAAAAUUCAAGCCCUUUUUCUUUUGUACUAUCAAAUAUUUUCUAGUUGUACGUGAUGUUUGGUUGGAUAGCAAUCACUUUUCCCAAGGCCAUACUUUUUUGGCCAUGUAGCCAGCUCAAUAGGGGGUCAAGCCGCUAUCAGGUGGGCCUUUUUCAAGGUCUUUAUGGAAGAUCUUUAUUUUUUUAUUUUUUAUUUUUAUUUUUUGGUUUGGAUAGGAGAUUAUUACACUAUAAUUAUAAUUAUAAAAGAGGUGUUUAUAGUUAAACUUUUAAUAAAUUUUUAUAUUUAUUUUUUUUUCAACACUAUACCUUUCGCUUAUUAUUCAGUUUUUGAUUAUGUGAACAAAUAUAAACUGCACUAUAUUUUAAAAUUCUAUUUAAACAUCUUAUUUUUAAAUUUUAUUUGUCAAUUAUGACCUAUAUCUAAUUUUUGAAAAGAACUACGAAUCAUAAAUAAUUAACUAUAUAUUCAGCUUAAUCCGCAUAUAAAUUUAUUAAUAUGAACUAUUAAACGAUUGAUACUGUGUUAUAAAUCUAACUUACUGUUGGUGUGUGACACCCCAAUAGUCCCACAUCGGAUGGGAAAGGAGUUGUCAUUGGGUUUAUAAGAGACUUAGACACUAGUAAUAAUAACUGGGCUUAAGCAUUUGGGUCGAUGGUUGGGCCUAACGAGUUAUUAUUGCUAGUGGGCUGGGUCGUUACAUUUGGUAUCAGAGCCGGUUCACCAGCUAGACAUGUGUAGCGAAUCUCGGCUGAGCCAGGGUCUGGAUGACGGGCUAGCGAGACGAGUCUCACAUCGCCUGGUGAUCUCGGGCUGUGUGUGUGAUUGGACUGACGAGGACGUCAGGGCCUUAACGGGGGGAGUCUGUGACACCCCAAUAGUCCCACAUCGGAUGGGAAAGGAGUUGUCAUUGGGUUUAUAAGAGACUUAGAUACUAGUAAUAAUAACUGGGCUUAAGCAUUUGGGUCGAUGGUUGGGCCUAACGAGUUAUUAUUGCUAGUGGGCUGGGUCGUUACAUGGUGCCGGAAAAGUAGUGCCACAUGGUAAUUCAAUCCACAUAAUUAAAUAGUAGGAACAAAACAAAAGGUGACAUAUGAUACACCAAGAGCCGAAGAAAAGAACGUCUAAACGGAAAAGCGGUUUAGGCGAGAACGGUUAGAGACGUAAAAGGAGAGUUCCGUGGCCAGCAAGGUAUCAACCGAAGUACAAUCCGAAAAAAUAGGGAUGUGGCCGAGAAAACCUCCAUGAUAAGAAUCACCCAAUAAUUGCAGGCGGAAGAAUAUAUUACUAUAAAUAGAAAAAAGUGCGACUGUGAUAGGAGUCCUUCACAUGAGCAAGUGAUUGUUAUGCAUUUUAUAUUGGCAUAUUUCGUGAAGUGAGUCAGAGUCAUAAAAGUUUAAAAAGAAAGGAUGAUAUUUGAAGACUCGAAGACUCAAAUUACGUUUCAACGAUGCUUUGUAAAUUUUUAUAAUGUUAGAAGUAAUAUAUGAAUAUAUUUAAGUUAUUGAAAAUCACUAGAAUUGAUAAAAAUUAUAAAUAUUAAAAGCUGAAAAUUUUUAUAGUUAAGAUCCGAUCAAGGUCAGAUCCUGAUUAUCAAGAUACGAACCUUGCAUGGAGGAUCUGGACCUUGAUACUCUGAAAAGUAUCAUGUCCGAACCUUGAAUAUAAGGUCCGGACCUUGAAUCCGUUGUAAGUUUUUUAAAAUCAAUUUUUUAAUUCUAAUCUUAUUCUAAUUGCUUCCAAACCUAUAAAUAAGAUGUGGGGGUAUCUCUAAAACGUGGUUAAGUAUAAAUUAUCUUUCAAAAAUCCUAGAAGCUUGUAGGGAGCCGUGUUUCUCAUCAUCUACAACAACCUUCCCUCAAAUUGAUUCUUGGUGCCCUAGAUUUUUAAUGUUUUUCUAGAAUCAAUUUGAGAUUUGCUUAGAAACAUUUUCUACGGUUCUUUCAUAUUCAUCUAAGCAAUAAAUUAUCACCAAUAUUAUUCAUGUUGCUCUGGACGGAGUGCACUCGUGGAUUCGAGUGGGCGCCGUGGAUUCGACGUGAUCAAGGCUUCGUGGAUUCGAAGUGUAGACGUUUCGUGGAUUCGAAACGUAGCAUUUGUGGAUUCGAACGUGGGAGUGGACUAGCCAUUAGUGUGCGCGUGAUCCCAAGAUGAUAAAAAAGGAGGUUUGAGUCUGUAAAGUCGGUAAUCAGCGUAUAAUCUUUUAUUCCUUAAUGGAUUGUUAUCGCGUAUUAGUCCCGUAGAUUUUUUACUUUAAGUUGGAGUUUUUCUAUGUAAAUCUCGGUGUGCUAUUUUUAUUUUUCGCAUUUAUUUUUGUUGUAUUGAGAUUUGUGCUUUUCCUAUACACCUAUUCACACCCCUUUAGGUGGUUGAGAGUAUCUAGAUAGAUCCUAGGGUUUUCCAUUACCUACAAUUGGUAUCAGAGCGGGACAAUUUUUCUAUCAUAAUGGGUGAAGGUGGUAAUAUUCUUAUUUUUUAUUAGACCAAUUAAUUAUGCUUAUUGGAAAAUUCAGAUGAGAGCUUCCCAUUGCAAUUGAUCAGUAAGCAUGGCAAGCCAUCGAAUUCGGCUGGAAGCAUCCAACCGAAAUGGUUAGAAAUGCGACCGUACCUAAACUUCGAACUCAGUGGUCGGCGGAUAAAAUCGAAGCAUCUUCUUACAACGACAAAGGAAUUAAUGUCUUAUUCAAUGCUUUGUCUCAAAUCGAACUUUCAAGCGUCUCGGCGUGUGAAACGGCAAAGCAAAUUUGGGAUACUCUCCAAGUUACGCAUGAAGGAACUAACUUGGUAAAGGUUCAAAAACUCUAGAUGUUAACAAGCAAAUUUGAUUCAAUUCGCAUGGAGAAAUAUGAAACUUUUAUCGAGUAUUAUACUUGUCUACAAGACAUAGUUAACACAUGCACAAAUUUGGAAGAGAAAAUCUCAAAAUCGCAAGUUGUAAGAAAAUUUUGAGAACUCUUCCCGAAAGAUUUCGUCUGAAGGUUGCAGCCAUUGAAACUAUAAAACAUUCGGAUGAUUUAAAAGUAAAAGAAUUAGUAGGUGCCUUACAAACGUAUGAGAUAACUUUUCCUACUAAUCAAUCUUCUUUUAAGUCUCAUUUUAAAAGUACAGGUGUUGCACUCAAAUCUAUCAAGGAGGAAGAUAGCAGCUCAGAUUCCGAUGAAGAAAUUUCAAUUACUGAUUUUGUACAUCAACUGUCUCUUUUAACGAAGUAAUUUCGUCAGAACUUUUAAAAGAACAAAACUAACAAAGCUUCAUCUACCAAACAAAAAUCUUUUUCCAAAGGAUUUUCAAAUUCAAAAUUCUCUAGAAAAAAGAAAGUUGCAAAUUUUUUUUUUAAAAAAGAUGAUUUUGAAGGAAAAAUUCAAUAUUAUAAAUGCAAAUUAAGACUAUGGCCGUAUUUCAACGGAUUGUCCUACUAAGAAAUCUUAUAAAAAGAAGGCUUUUGUAAGCGAGAAUUUGGGACAAUUCUACUUUUGAAGAAUCGACAGAUGAUGGCAAGAGUGGGGAGGGAGUCAGACGUUGAUUGCUUAGCCGAGGUGUAUCAGCAACUACUUAAAGAAUCCAAGUUGGCUAAGCAGAACAAGAAGCUAAGAAAACACUUACUUGAGCUAGAAAAUAGGAACAAAACUUUGAGAACAACAAAUAAAGCUCUUGAUGAUGAAUGGGAAUCGAUAUUGAAGAACAAUGGAAUCCUCCAAGAGAAGAUAGACCAAUCGGAGGCAAUGAUCAAAUCACAUCAAGAGAAGAUUGGUUUUGUAGAAAAACAACACAAAGAAAUCCGUACAUCUAACCAAGUUUUCACCAAGCAAGUCCAUCAACUCAAAUCUGACAUACAAAAAUUCUUCUCCGGAUCAAAGAAACUUGAUGAUAUACUGGAAUUGAGUCAAAUGAAUAAACUUAGAGUUGGAUAUGAAGGACAUAUAUUGAGAAGGUUAAGAGUUUAACAUUCAGUCUCAACAAUUUUGAAGAAUAAAGUGUGCCCUAGAUGUGGAAAUAAAGAUCACAUUAAGUCAAAGACAUGCCUGAGAAAAGAAAAGAAAACUCAAUCGUCAUCUUCUAGACAUCAAUUGGCAUCUUCUAACACUUAACAACCUGGAAGAAUUUAAAAGCAACAUCAAUCAAGUCGAGUACUUCAGAAUAACCAGGAGUCAAAGCCACAACAAAUAGUUUACACAAAACCGAAUGCAACAUGGUGACCAAUGGUGGAUCAAAAGUCAAAACAAUCGGUACCCAAUCGCAACAAAUCAAGACAACCAACAAUCCGACAAUUUCGGACUCGAAAAAGUUAUAUCUUUUCUUGUCUUAAGUCUUAAUUUAUUUGACGUUAUGUAGUGCGUUGGUAGGUUUUUAUUGCAUACCUCUCUUAAUCAUUGCAUUACAUUUUUAGGUGCUUUUAUUAUUACAAUUUUUAAAUGUUUUUAUGUUUGCUAAUUGUUUUCAAUGUACAUUGCAUGAUUAUCACUUUUACUUCAUUUUUAUUGUUUAUGAAGAUAAUUUAUUAUAGGAGUCCUUAAUAUUUAUAUUCAUCAAAUUUAGAUAAUCAUGUAUGAUUUUUAGGCACUUCACCUAUCUCGGUUAUGUGUAUUGUAUUUGAUGAAUGGGAAUCUGCUAAUAGACUAAACAUUGUCAAAGUUUUUUUCAAAUAAGAGAUUGCAUUUUGAAGGGGGUUAGAAUUAAAAAAAGAAGAAGAAAACACUCCAAUAGUAUUAAAAGUUGUGGAAAGAGUUACAUCCCAAAAAGAGUUUGAAAACUAUCACUAUAUGUUGAAAAGAGCUACCACUUCGGUCAUCCGGUAAGUGUGUUAAGCUACCACAUGAAACUCUAAUGCAUAACCAGAAAGGUUAAAAAAGUGUUCACUAAAAAAAAUUAAAAUUUUGGUGCAAUAAGGUGAUAUAUUGAAAAGAUGCUCAAAGAGUCACUCCAGUGCAUUACUUGGUUGGUCUCAAAUUUAAAAAGUUAUACGACGAAUUUAUGUCAUUUAGUGAAUAACUAUAUGUCAUUUUCAUAAUUCUUUAUAUCUUGAUAGCUUUUAGACCUCUAGAUUAUUUUAAUGACUUGAUUUUGAAGUAUAUAUGAAUUAAGAAAUCUCGUAAUAAUUUAUCUAUAUUUUGAAAAUUUUGUAGUAAAAUAAUUUCUAUAAAAUUGAUGUGCAUUAAAAGAAAUCUAUGUGAAUUUUUCAAUGUUCAUACACUAACAUUAUUGUUUUUCACAAUGCAAUCAUCAUAUUUUGAUAUUUUAUCAAGUUAGUUUCGAAAUUUUUUAAAAAAAUUUACACUUGAGUUUCUUGUAUACUACAUUCCGGUACUUAUAUUUAAUUUCUAUCAAAACUCUCUAUUUUUGGUGCUACUCUUUUUGGCACCUUUUGACUAAAAAGGGGAGAGAAAUGAGAUUUUAAAACAAAAAAAAGGGAGAGAUUAAAUUUAGAAAUUUUGAUUAAAUUAAAAUUUAAAAUCAUUGUGAGGAUUGAGAAUUUGACUGUGAAACUAAACUCUUUGUUGUCGAUGUUUUUAUGUGUAAUUGAAUUACAUAAGCACUCAUCAAGUUUCAAGAGAAAACGAGUUAAGAUAGAGAAGUUACGCGAUCUUUACUAAUAACUUAAGUGCAUAGUAACUUGGGUUUUUCGGAGAGGACAAUCAGUGGAGAUAGCUUCUGGCGCGUAAUGGACUCCAUUCAUAACGAUCCAAUAGCUCGUUUUCAAUGGUCCGACUAUUCUGGAACCAUUGGCCCUGAUGGAUUUUAGAUAUGAGGCACGGUUUUCGAGAAAAAUAGAGAUAUAUGUAUUCUAUGUAUUUGUGUGCGGGUUUUCCAUAUUGGUGAGAGGAUGGAUUUCGUCGCGAAUCUGCGACCAAACCAGGUGAAACAAAAUCAUGAGUUUGAGGCCCCGGUCAUGCUGAACGCGCUGGCGUGAUCCGAUCGGAAAUCUGACGGACAUAUAUCCUGGAAUCGCAUAAAGUUCGCUGAGGGGUCGAAAUUGGCAAAACGGCAAAACGAAAAAUCUGCGAAAAGCCCAAUAUUUUAUGUACCGUUUUGUGUGAUUUCGAACGUCGAGGUGAUUGUGUGCAAAAUAUACGCGCUGGCAAGGACUCAGCUGAAAAUAAUCAGCUUUGGGGGACUGUCUCAUAAUAUACGCAAUAUGUAUAUAAUGUUCAUCUAGGGUUUCAAUGCUCGAAAUCCUAGACCUAGCCGGCCGAGCUCCCCAGCUAACCCUAGCCGUCAUCAGCACCACCUUGCCAUAGCCGCGCGCACACCCCGGCCGUCGGCGAGCGCACUCGGCUGCCGAAAAACUAGCCGGCAUUGAAAAUCCUCUACGUUGGUUUCUCUCAUCUCUGCCGUGAGCAACCCAGAGUCAUCCACGCGCUGGGCCUCCAUUUCCUGGCCGAGACCAGACCUCUGGCGUCAUCCCCACCGGCCCCCGUCGUUCGCGCGCACCGCGGGCGCCACCUGGGAGAUCCGCGGCCACCCGCGGUCAGCCCAGACCGAACUCAGCUGAGCACGAGGCCCGCGUGCCGUCGCUGUCACGCCCCGGGGUCCCUUUUAAGUUCCAAAACACAGCAGAAGGAUCUAAAUUUUUUUUAAAAAAAAUCUGACCCCCAAGGUAUGCAAGAUCCGCCACAAAUGCAGGGGGUCCACUGUUCACAUGGACAGAGUCUCCCCUGUAUUUGCACGGCGUCACACAAGUACAAGAUGUAUAACCAGGAUACAACCACUAUAAAUGAAUAUACAACAUUCAUACAUUCAGAUGUUCAUACACCAUUCGUCACAGAUUCAUAUUCAGAAUUUAAUCAUAAAACAACAACUAUUAGUUAAAACGUUUCCUACUCGGAAACAGGCUUUGAAAUACUAAGUUACAAAAACCACGAGAAAACCUUUUAAAACUGUUUCCCACACGGAAACUCUUUUCUUUUAAAACACGCUACCAUGAGGGGUAGAAAACCAUUUCCACUUCAUAGAAAUUCACAAAUCUUUAUUAUAUUCAGAAAACCAACUAAAAUCUUGAACAUUCAAACAUAAUGAAAUACUGAAUCAUAUUAGCUGUCUAAGUUAUAUCAACAGAAAUAAAGGGGAUAACUACUAAAUUGAACAAACCGGGUCGGAAGCUCUAGCGACCGCUACGAACGUGUCUCACGUCUCGUCUCAACCCUCACCACUCUCAAUACCUGAAAAAUGAUGAGGGAGGUGAGAACAUGUAAACAUGUCUCCCCUCCCAGUGGGUACCGCAAGCCAAUGAAGGCGAGAAGUACUCACCGGAUCAGAAAGAGAUAAUAACAAUAUGGGUAAGUAAAAUACAGUAACAACGAUAAUGAACGAAUGAGAUAUAUAUAUGCAUGAAAGAACGACUACCGCUACUGUAUGUAUGAAUCAACGGACGACACGUCCAAAUACCCAAUCAGAGAUAGCCAUAUUGGUCCCCAACACCUCAGGCCUGUGCCACAACUGCUCAACCUAUACGUGACCCUACGUGACCCUCGCAUAAAGCACCCGGGUCAGAAAGUAUAAAACCCUCGCAUAAAGCACCCGGGUCUCACGGGCUGGCACUCCGAACCACUUUUCCGGAAAAGAACACCCUCUUGCGAUGGAUCAGACCGCUGGUGUUCGUGAAAUGCAUACAAGCAGUGGCGAUCAAUGCUGAAUGCUCAAUAGCCAACCGUCGGCAACUAGCCGACAAUCCUGCCCACUAGGGGCACACUGAUCGUAUAGGUCAUCACAGAAUCCAACCGACCAACAAGGUCACUGAUACGAAGUACGAGAACCGAGCAACCAGGUCAACAGAUAUGGAAUGCAACAACCUACCAACCAGGUGAACAGAUACUGAAUGCAACAACCGAUCAACCAGGUCAACAGAUACGGAAUGCAACAACCGAUCAACCAGGUCAACAGAUAUGGAAUGCAACAACCGACCAACCAGGUCAACAGAUACAUAUGUAGAUAGAACUACUUUACUCCUACUCAGGAUACUAAGCAUGCAAACAACGAGUAGAGUAUAAUGGAAUAACGUGGGUGCAAGGCUCAAUAUAUACUAUGCAAUAGUAACAACAGGAGAACAGGGGUAGAAGGAUAUCACCGAGCGUGCACCACUGUACCGACUUCGGAUCGAAGUACCUACCUGUAAGAAUAUCGCGCCGGUCUCCUGACUGCGAAAGAACGUCAACUGGACCUAAGCAGGGUCCACCGGGUUAGUGUCUAACCCACAAUUAACAACCACGAAUCCACAACCCCACAAACAAUCCCACGGAGAUCGGUUUCCCAAAAUCGACUACUGUAACACACCGGAAGUUUCGAAAACCGCAUCGGAACUCUACCGGGACCCACGAACUGUCCCGGAACACACCGACUCGACCACAAGUCACCCGCUGCCACUAAACACAUAGUUUCAUGUAACUUGGUAGCAAAAACACUAACUCACUCCGAAACGAUUAUCAUCGGAUAAUCGUUCCAAUCCGGGUUCCCGGAAGUGUCCAAUUCGACACCGGAACCCACCAUCGCUCACCCGUCGUUUUCGAACCCUCGAAACAAUGCGGGUGACCAGCCAACAAGGCUCAGUGAUGACACAAAUUAUCACGAGGCAUCGUCAGAAGAAUUCCGAACCGAAAACAUGUUCCGUCGGCGGAUUUCGUCGAAAAACGCACUGAAAAUCAACAUUUGAUUUCCGAAAAAGCCUGGGGCCUUGGACAACCAGUCCAGAGGUCACCCCUGUCCUUACACACUACCCACAGUAGCCACGAAGUGCACAAUUGCACAAAAGCCCCUGCAAAUACCUAAAAUCACAUUAUUUUAUGUGAUUUUUGGGGUUUUAUGGCCCGACAGCGCAAACCGAGGACCUCCGAGCCUGGCCGAGACACUCACUGAUAGGUCUCGACGUGCCAGAGACCGUGCUCACCUUUCGGAGCACUGUCGGCCACUGAGGAGAGCACGGGAGCGACACGAAAGUCUGCGAACUGUGCGCACUGCAUGAAAAACAUGCUUAUCUCGCAAAUCAAGGGCUAGUUGACCCCAACGAAGGUAGCCACGAUGAUCAGCAAUGAUCAAGGAUUAUCGUGCUCACCUUCAGAGGUGUAUGGUACGUUUGUUUCCCGGCAAUGAGUUAUGACUACGGUUAUGUGUGGUACAUUCCUCGCCCGGCAAUAACUUAUGAUUACGGGUAUGUGUGGUAUAUGACUCGCCCGGCUAGAGACUCAUGGUCAAGGGUAUGUGUGGUGUACUCCCCACCUGACAGAUGAGCUAUAUCGAGUGGAUUUAAGACCAAGGUGCAUUUGGCACGUUCCUCUCCUCAAGCCUAGACAAACAGCGAUAAUUUGUUGAUGGUUGAUUCAAGAGUGAGUCACAUGGUAUAGCCUGGCUAAAGUAAGAGAAAUCUUAGGAGCAGACUUGAUAAUAAAUGGAUAGUGAAAUAGAAAGUAGAAGAGGUAUACCUACUUGCAUGAUUUUUAUUAUCGUAUUUACCUGAGGCGUGAGUAUAGUUAUGAUUGUAUUUACAUUUCAACUUAUCUGUAUUUACUAUAUGCUUUUGAUGCCUCCUUUUGACCUGGUGGGUUCAAGAUUCUCUCUUGGGUGGCCAUACCCACUAAGAACUAUUUUUAUAGCUCUUACGCCUAUAUUUUUCAUGUCCAUACGUGCGCAAUGAAAGAAUGUAGCUCGAUAUUUAGCGUCUUGCCAUUGUGACCAAAUAUAGAUGUACUUUGGGACAGUGUAACUUAAAGGUAUAGAAAAGAAAUGAAGAAAAAUAUAAUAACAAAUUGAUUGUAUUUGGAAAGGAAAAAUAUAAAUAUAAUUUGAAAGUGGUGAAUGCAUAUAAUAGUUAGAUACUUUAUGUUUUUCAUGCUUCGCCACAAUUUCAUUUAGCGGCAACACUUUCGGUGGCAGCUUGUGGCGACUUUAAAAGUAGCCACCUUUUAAAAAGGUGGCAACUUUUUAUAUAUAUGGUGGCGACAUUACUCGCCACCAAUAUAUAAUAUUCUUGUAGUGUUAUGAUGUUUUCCUUAUACAAUUUAUGUAGUAAUUCUAUUCCUGUUUGGAAUGUAUGAUGAAUUAUAUUGGUUGCGAAACCUUUGGCGGACAGGUGAGACUCUGUCCGUUCAGGGCUUUCGCCUAUUUAGGGAUGAAAUGGUAGGGCAUGACAAACUAAGCUGGUAUUAGAGCAUAGAAAUGAUCUAGAUGGAGCAAAGAGAUCCUAGGAUGGUAACCCAUAAGGAACUACGCUCGUGAGUGACGAGAACUUGUGAAAGUGGCGAAAAAUGAAACUAGGUGAUGAGAAUAAACGCCGUUGUGUGACUUUCACCUACUUGAGUCUGAUGUUUAAAUGUCGUCUUGUAUUUAACCUUCAAGGCCAAGGAGUUGACCAGGUUGUCUGGUUUCAGGAGGUAAGGGUAUCACAUGGCAACCUCUGAUGGGAUCUGGACUGAAAGUGUCGUUGGAGGCCCCCGAGCAAUCCGGGACGAGCGGAGAUAUUGAACUCCGUGGACAGUUGGCUAUGCUCAUCAAAGUAGUGUAGCGACAGGAGAACCAUAUUAAGAUGCUCUAAGAGAUGUUGGCGCAACAAAUAGUUACGGCCUGGAUGGGUCAAGAACCACUUGUUCCUCCAGUCAGCGCCCCUAAUCAAACUAAUGGGGUAGCUGCGACGACCGGGCCUAUAGUGGCAUGCUGUGUACCAUCAGGAGCCGCGAUGAGUACCCCUCAAGCGGGUUUGGGUACCUUGGCCCCUAGUUACGUGGAGAUGGAGGCAGAAAGAGAGCGAGCACUUGCGAGCGUCAUAACUUUUAAGAUGUUUAAUAUGCCUCCCUUCGUAGGAGAGUCAGUGGAUCCGUGGGUCGUGAAAAUAUAGAUAGACUCUAUGGAAACUCUCUGUGAGGACCUAUACACCUUAGAGAGGGGUAAGGUGCAUCUUGCUACACAUUGCUUAUAAAAGUCGGUAAGGGUGUGGUGGAAAGGAGUCAUGCGAGACCGAUCCCCCAGUCUUCCUCUGAUCACUUCGAAGGAGUUCCGAGGAUUGGUGUUCUUUACUGAUUUUUUCAAUAGUGAGAAGAAAUAAAAUUUGAUUUCUAGAAGUACUAAAUGCUCUAGAUAACGUUUAAUAGUAUGGUUCAUCGAUUCGGAAGCUAUAUCAUCAAAAACGACUUAUGAGUAUGAUGGCGAUCGUACUUGUAAGAGUAUAGUAGUCGGACUAUAUAUAUAUAUACAUAUAUAUAGAGCAGGGCUGCUGAGCCGUUUUCGAUGAUGGAAUUUUUGAAUCAACGAUCGGCUCCGUUAGACUUAAUCUAACGUAUUUGAAGUUUCUAGAAAAUAAUUUUUGCGAUUUUUUGAUAUCAUUUACCUAGUGAUCGAAAAGAUUCAAAAUCAAUAAUUUUUAAUGGUUGAUAUCUACUGUUUUCAAGUUUAACGGUGUAGUAGUAUUCAAAUCAGAUGAAAUUUUGAUACAAAAUUUUUUAUAAUAUCUACAACAAGAUCAAUAUCUCUUAUCGAAAAUUUUGUGCUAUAUCACCACCUUUUAUAGAAUUUUUAUUUUCAGCCGUUAAAAAUUAUUGAUUUUGAAUCCUUUCGAUUGCUAGGUAAAUGAUAUCGAAAAAUUCAAAAAUUAUUUUCUAGAAACUUCAAAUACGCUAGAUCAAGUCUAACGGAGCCGAUCGUCGAUUCCGAAAAUUCCAUCAUCGAAAACAGCUCAGGAGCAUGGAGGCCUCUAUGCUCCUGAGAGCACAGCAGCCCUGCUCUAUAUAUAUAUAUAUAUAUAUANNAGUAGUCCUACUCUAUAUAUAUAUAUAUAUAUAUAUAUAUAUAUAUAUAUAUAUAUAUAUAUAGAGAGAGAGAGAGAGAGAGAGAGAGAGAGAGAGAGAUUUGAGCUGGAAUGCUAUCAAUAGCAUUUGAACUUUUUUGUUAUCGAUUUUUUGGCCAUUAGAUCUACAAUUUGAUCAAUUCCAACCUUUAAAUCAUACUAUUCAAACCAACCAUCCACUUAAUCCUACGGGGGCCACUAUCAUCCUAAACCUAUAAUUUUUCAUCCAAUGGUUAAGAACUCGAUUAUAAAAGAGCCUAAAUAUUAUUAAUAGUAUGCCCAAAUAUAUAUAUAUAUAGAGAGAGAGAGAGAGACAGAGAGUUGUACUUCUAUACUUUAGAAGCUCCUAUACUACAGUGUUUUAAACCGUUGGAUCCUCUUUGAGAUCCGUGCACAGGUUUGGGGGAUUAAAGUGGGAUGAAGUGGGAUGUAGCUAGUACCACCGUUAACAGAGAAAUAACUGAGGAGAAAGAAUCCCACUUCAAACCCCCUCUCUCUCUCUCUCUCUCUCUCUCUCUCUCGUUAACAGAGAAAUUAAAGAGGAGAGAAAAUCCCACUUCAAAUCUCUCUCUCUCUUUAGUUAUAAUAAAUUUAUUUUUAAGGAUACAUAGAAACAUUGAUAAAUUUUUCUUUAAAAAUCAGAAAAAAAAAAUAAAAAUUUUAGCACAAAUCUUUUUUUUUACAUAAUUUUUAUUUUUUAUAAAAAUCAGUAAAAAAAUUAAAAUUGUACCAAGAAUCGUGUAUUUAAAUUUUUUUUGCAGAAAAAAUAAAAAUUUAUUUAGUACCAAUCUUGUAGAAAUUUUUUAAUAAAAAAUUUAAAAAAUACNUUUAAUAAAAAAAUAAAAAAAAAUACAUAGGGAAAAAAAAGAAAAUACAAGUAUCUUGUAUUUUCUUAAAAGAUCCAUAGCUCAUGACUCCUUUUUUUAUAAAUUUUAAAAAAAUUAUAUUAAAAUAUAAAAUUUUAAUUCAAUAAAAAAAUAUUAGAAAAAAUAAAAUAAAAUAAUUAUUUUUUAUAAUUGUAAAAGGAGAGAGAGAUAGGGGAGAGAGAGAAAGAGAAAGAGAGAGAGAGGGGUUUGAAGUGGGAUUCUCUCUCCUCUUUAAUUUCUAUGUUAACGGAGAGAAAGAGAGGAGUUUGAAGUGGGAUUAUCUCCUCAAUUAUUUCUCUGUUAACGGUAUUACUAGUUGCAUCCCACUUCAUCCCACUUUAAUCCCCCAAACCUGUGCACAGAUCUCAAAGAGGAUCCAACGGUUUAAAAUACUAUAGCAUAGGAGCUUCAAUACGAUUGAUAGUAUAGAAGCACAACUCUAUAUAUAUAUAUAUAUAUAUAUAGGUCGGCUACUAUACUAUUAUGAGUACGAUCGCUCUCGUACUCAUAAGUUGUUUUCGAUGAUAGAGCUUCCAAAUCGACGAUCCACACCGUUAAACGUUAUUUGCAGCAUUUAAAACUUCUAGAAAUCAAAUUUUAUAAUUUUUCGACAUCAUUUACCUUACGAUCAAGUGGUCACAAAUUUGACAAUUUUUAACAGCCGGUAUAGGAUACUUGCUAGUUUAACGGUGUGUUGGUAGCCGAAAUCUCAAAUCCCUGACCCGGUCAAAGAUCCUCCUCAGGAAGCGCGUCGGGAUGCGAAACGGCUGUGAAUAGUGACCCUCGAAGUUUGCGCCCUUUGAUUGAUCAAGCGAUUCGGUUGACGAAGGAUCGGGUCAGCCGGGUUCGAAACCUCUACAGCAAAUUCGGUUCGGCUGGAUGAGCCGAAUGAACAAAAGAAGUCAGAAUUUCAGCCAAGGAAUGAGCCGAAUGGCUAAUACAGCACAGGAACUGGUCGGCCUGAAGAGCCGGACACUGCCUUCUAUUGAAAGAGAACGGAGAAAGUACAGGAAAGAGGGUUUUAAUCUACAGCGGAGUGAUGCCCAAAGGGCAGACAGACUCCAGGAUGCUAAGUUACAGGAACUACUCCUAGGGAAAGUAGUAAAUGCGAGAAAGAAAGAUGCAGGGAAAAUAAGGUUGGUCUUUCGUGCGCAAGGGCCAAGACCUCUUUUUAGGGUAUUAUUACCCUAUUUAUAGAUAGCACCCUCGGUCAGUUAUUGUUCUUACACGAUCGGCCAAUAUCUCCUCGUAUUCCGGACCACUUCUAACCAAUUGGAACCACAUGUAACUGCUUGCGGUUACCGUAACUUCCUUCAAUUGGCGCGACACAUUUUUCUAGUGCUCCCGAUGCACAACCGAAUAGAUACUUUUGAAGGGAAUAUUCACACCGAUCCUAUCCGCGCCUAAUUGGCUCAACAAUUGCCCCCUCGGCAGCUUUCGAAGUAACACUUCGGUAGCUGGCGUGAUCUGAGACACGAUUACUUUUCAACUUCCCGGUAUGGUUUCAUCUCAGCCGUCCCUUUUUUCGUUGCCGAAAUCCUGUAAUUGCUUCGAUAACAAGCGCGAGCCGAGGUGUCGUUCUCGGUCCAAUCACAUUCAAAAUCUCUGUACCAGUACUCGACGUAAUUCGAGGCGUGACCCUCUGUACGGUUCAAUCUUAGCCGUUUAUUUUCUUUCUUACGGCCCGAUCUCAAUUCUCAUUUUGUCUCAUCUGCGGCAUUAACUAGGUUAUCUUAAUUACCGCCGUCUAUUCAUCAUUAAAGCCGACCUCGAAACUCACUUCGACGUGACGGUUCGAUACGACGGCCUUUCUUCUUCUCCAAGCUUUUCAUUCUUUUUGUCUCUUCUAUUUCUUCUUCGUCUUCAAUGAAACUUUUCUUUCGCUUCCCUUUCCUUCAUCUUCUCUGAUUUCUUUUAUUUUUCGCUUCGCUUUUUUCUCUUUUCCUUUUUCGACUAAUGGCGCUGGUUCCGCCUCUUCCUUCUCAUCCAUCCCUGGAUUAUACUAUACUUAAACCCUUUGUCGACUCAGACCUCUCUAGAUUUAUUUUGUGUCAUUCUCUUACAGAAGUGCCAUCCCCUAUCGACUCGACCUUUUCUAGCGACGGUCUUCCCCAGAGAAAAGCUAUUCAUCUUCAGUCUUGGUACUCUUCUGCUUCAACAGGAAAGAGUCUUCGAACCUGGCCAAGUACUUCAGAGGCAUAUUUAACCUGGUUAGAUCAAGUAGAAGCCGCCUUUGGUGACUUUUGACGAGAGGUUGGGAUAUAUGAAGCUAUCCAAUUGUCUCGGCAUCCUCCUAUUCCCGAUACUCUUCUUCUAGCCGCCACUCUGUGUUUUUGGUCCCCUGCUUCUAAUGUUUUUCUUUUCAAAAGAGGACCUCUUACCCCCACUCUUUUUGACGUGGCCGCCAUUAGUGGCUUGCGCCCUCAUGGCGUUACUGUUUCUAUGUCUUAUAAUUCUGACGGCAUAUCUGAUUUUGAGGACCGUUUAGACCUCAAUGACUUGGCUUACUCUAAGUUUAUCCGAAAAUUCGCAGGUGAAUCCCCUGCUCCCGUUACUAAGAACGAACAUAUGGCAUUCCUCCUUUAUUGGUUAUGUCAUAAUUUCUUCUGUACACCUUCACAGAAGAUCAAUCGUGACUUUGUUCCAAUCGCCGUUGCUUUGUCUAACGGCGAUAGAUUAGCUCUAGGGCCUUGCUUUCUUACCUUUGUCUAUAGAGAAAUUUUUGAUUCUAUCAAAAUACUGCCGUCUGGAGAUGGUAUUGCCAUCAGUUCUGGCUGCGGUGUUUUCUGGUUUCUUCAAAUGCUUUUACAAUUCUAUAUUCCCGCUUUAUGUCAAUCUCCUUUUAAUCCGACUUCGGUUGCCCAAUUUGAUUCUUAUGGGUUAGCUCUCGGCUGUCCACAGCCGAUGACUCCGGGUCAACCUUCUGACUUUCUUAUGAUGGUUUUGAAAUAACCCAAGGAUCUAUCUAGAUUGUAUCUAUCACCUAGAGGGGGGUGAAUAGGUGAAAGAACCAAAAACCACAAAUCUCAAUGCGAUAAAAAUAAAUGCGGAAAAUAAAAAUCACACCGAGAUAUACGUGGGAAAACUUCAACUUGGAGAAAAACCCACGAGACCAACACACGAAAAAAUAAUUCACUAAGAGAAAAGAUUACAAGGUGAUUACCGACUCCACGGACUCAACCUCUCUUAACCUCCUAUGAAUCUCGCGCAAUCCUCCGGGUUGUCCACGCCCUCACGUUCGAAUCCACGAACAUCUCGCACACGUCCGAAUCCACAAACGCCACUCGAAUCCACGAGCCCACGAUCCGAAUCCACGAACCGCCGUCAAUCACGCCGAAUCCACGACGCCAUCAUGAAGAACGUCAUGAGUAUGGUGAUCCUUCGCUUAGAGUAUCGAUGAAAAUCAAGGAAGAAGACUUCAAGCGAAGACUAGAUCAAAUCGACAUAUAGCGAAUGCGAAACGAUACCUCGAUUUGAUCUAAAGAGGCUAAUUUGUAGAAAAUAGGUUUAGAACGAAAUACUAGCCUCUAGGGUUCUUUAAUUGUGUAUUCUUAUGAUAGAUGAUCGAUUAGAGAACCCCUAUAGCUUAUUUAUAGACUUUAGAAUCAAAACGGAGUAGGAUUAGAAAGUUUCUUUCCGUAUUCAGCACCUUGUACCGGUACACGGGAAGCUGUCCAGGGUACAGCAUGACGGAAGAUUUUUCUACAAAGCUUCUGUACCCUGAACAGACUGCAGCUUAUUCCGGAACAAGGCUUGUACCGGUACAGCCAUGAUGGUUGUACCGGAACAACCAUCGUAAUUCCCUGCGGCAAUAGCCGUUGUCUGUACCGGUACAGAAAAACCCUUGUACCGGUACAAUAAUGCAAUUUUCGCUGAAAAUGCAUUGUUUCGAGUUUUACAAGCUCUUAAAAACUUUCUAAUCAAUUACAACUUGAAAAUUAUGAUUCUAAGAUCUAAAAUUAAGUAUGAAUCACCAUAAACAAGAUUUAAAGCUUACCUAAGUAUUGUGAUUCAAGUUUUGCGUGUUUUGCGUCCUUUCCGAUUCUUUGAAGUCUUAGAUUCUUCGAUCUUCAAUACUCCACUCCGGACUUCUUCAGGACUCCGACUCGACCCAUGAAACUUGCCAACACAUGGGACCUAACAAUCUCCCCCUUUGGCAAUUUCGUAACAAAACACACUCAAAACACAAACAUUACAUUUAAAGAAAAGACGAAGUUCAAUUGUCAUCACCAAAACAAUGAACCUAUCGCGUGUAAUCCAAAUACAAAUUAAAACUCAAAAUACAUUCAAAACUCCUAAAACAGACUCUAUGACUUAGACGCAACUAGGAGUCUUGAAGUCUUGAAAUCCUGCAAAACAUUCCACAAUAAUAUAAAGUUUUACAUUCAAUUGAUUCUUUUACCAUUCUCCCCCUUUGUUCAUCACUUCUCCCCUUUGUUUCGUGAACCUGUUCAUCACUUCUCCCCUUUGUUUCGUGAACCUGUUCAUCACUUCUCCCCUUUGUUCGUGAACCUGUUCAUCUCGUGUCACGCCCCGGGACCGGCGGAGGCCCUCCCGGUAGCGUGCCCAAACCCGCCAUAUGUCUACACAUAUAAGGCGUCUACAAUAAAAGCGGAAGUAAAAGCAAGAAAUAGAAUAAAUAGAAGAAGUGAAAUAACUAGCAACUAAUGAUAUCAGAGCGAGUAAAGUUCUAGCAUCUACACCAAAGUAAAUAAGUAAAGCUAGACAAUAAAAAAAAUCAUAAGUAGUACAAUAACUGUCUCUAGUACAAAAAUGGUGGUCUCUAGUACACUGGUAAAACCCUCAACCUCUCGCCAAAAAGAAACACAUCGAGAGGUAGACCACCUAAACUCGUCUCUCGCUGAAGGGCUAACUCGAAGCGACGCCCUUACCACGGUCCCUAGCCUCUCCCGGCGUGGAAGGCUCUGAAAGAAAACAUAAAACAGAGGGCGUGAGAACUAUAAUUUAUAGUUCCCAGUGGGCAAUUACUGACCUCAGCUCAUUGCACCACUAGGCCCAAAAGAAAAGGGUAAGUCAAAAGCGAUAGUCAUAACGAGUAAUUGCAACUAUGAAAGCAUAAUGAAAUACUAAAAUAUUACUUGCGACUAAACAUGGCAUUUAUGUAAUGCACGAUUAUCCUGUCAUGAAGAGUAUGUCUCUACUUAGCCAUAAAUAAUGUCAUGGUUUGCUUAAAUGAAAUUAUGAGGAUUAUCCCUUAUCAUAGCAACAUUGUUUAUAUGAAUGCAAUUAAACACUGCCUCCUAGCAUACUACAUGUAUGUAUGUAUAUCCAAAGUCCAAACCUACGCUAGAAGCAAGUCCGAGUAAUCCAACUACCACUCUCUAUUUAGUAGUGAUUAUAACAAACUCAUCCCGUGUCGAUUUCCAUUUCCAAUUAGGGACCUACCAAGGGUAGUCCAGCUUGUGCCGCCUAAGUGCCUGUGGUAGCCCAACAUCCCUACUCUUGGAAUGUGUCUGUCCCACUCGACCCCGUAGGCUUCUCAAUACCGCACGAGCGAACAUAAGUCGCGUAGGCUAACUCCGGAGUGCCGGCUUGUAGGGAGCGACCCUCACAAGCAUGUGCGAAUGAGCACAAAUGGCAAGCAAGCAUAGUCCAAGUCUCAAGUAUCCAAUCCUCAUGUCUCUAAGUGAUGUCCCAACACUCACUUGCUUAGUGCCUCUUUAUGACACUUAAGCAUCACAACAGAUCAAGCCCAAAUCUUGUUCUAUGUUUCCAUUAAAACAUCAAUACCAAUGAUUACCAUGACCCGGGCCCCAAUGCCACUUUAUGACAUUGUCCCAAUUCUCAAAUAGUCCAAGUUCCCAAGCCCUCUCUAGGCUCCUAACAUUCCUAAUGUCACAUUUGGCAUAUAGGUUAAAUGCAUGAAAGCAAGGUUUAUUUACAUAAUAAGGAUCAUGGUUCCCAAUUAUAAAUAGAAUGCUAAGUCUCACAUGCAUGCACUCUACCACAUAGGGGUCUAAAAUUUCACUAUACAUAAUAUAUGCAUGUUAAGCAUUCUAAAAUUCAUAUUAAAUACAUUUAACAAGGAAAUGCAUGAAUUUCUAUUUUACGAAACAUAUUUGCCAAAUAUGAGCAUUUCUCAUAUCAUAGGCUAGGUCAAACCCACCGAACCGUCGCGUGCUCCUUCGAUUCGCCGAACGGAGUUGUCCACGAGUCUCAAAGUACCCUAAAAGUGAUCAGCGAAGAGAUACGAGGGCAUUACGACCAACCAUAAGAUCAAACAUUAACCUAGAAGCAAAAAGGGCCAAAACUCACCUCAAGAGAAGAAAUCUCUUCCAAAGCUCCAAAAGAGAGCUAGAACCCUUCCAAUCCAAGCCCAAGGAAGGUUCUAAACCAAUUAAUCUAGCCUCAAAAGCCCUAGAUCAAAAAGCCCCAAAAUCAACCCUAAAUCUCAUUUCUAGGGUUCCAUCUACAAAAACUAUCAAAACAAGAUCUAGAGGAGGGAAAUGAGCAACAAACCUCCUUAGAAGCUCCAAUCCUAGCUCCAAGGGUGAAGAUCUCCUCCUAUGCAAGCUCCAAGUCCAAGCCUUCAAGCACCAACAAGGUGGGAAGAGGAAGAGAGGCAAAAGAAUGCUCCAAGCCCAAGCUAGAUCCUCCUCUUCUUCUCCUCCUUCCUCUCCUUCUCCUUCUUCUUCUUCUUCUCUAUCAAGGGUGUAGAGAGGGUUGAGAGAAGAGAAAUGGGGAGAGGAGAGAGUGGAUGGGUCAUAUAGACCCUCUAAUGUAACAAAAUCCCAAGAGGCCCCUCAAAAAAACAGUAUUACAUCAGCCCGGUCUGGGCAGUUUUCGCCCAGAGGGACCGGUCUCUCCCCAGCAGGGACCGGUCUCUCGCUGCGAACCCGAAAAACCAACGUUCGGGAACCGGUCUCUCCCUGCGCGGGACCGGUUUCUCACUGCGUAGACGCGCUCGGGGACCGGUCUCGCCCGCCAGGGACCGGUUGCCUCAGGGCUGCCGCAGCAUUGCUCACUGGGGGACCGGUCUCUCCUUUUAGGGACCGGUCCCCGAGAGUAAAAACUCUCAGGACUGUCCAGAAUUUCAGUUUUCGAACUUUUUAGGUCGAAAAGCAUUCUACAACCCUCCCCCAAGUGUGAAAAAGCUCGAAAUACAUCCAAACACUCGAACCGUGCAAUUUGCAAAGGUCCAGUGCGUCACAUCUCGUGAUCUCCCCAUUUUUGUCAGAAAAUUGCCAAAUAACUUAAAAAGAGAAAAUCCACUAGAAAGAAACAUCAAAGUUAAAAUAUAAAUACAGGCCUAAGAGAGAAAGCAAUAAAUACAAGUAGAAGUGUAAACUAAACAUGAAAACAUAAACCUAAGAUAAAAUAUGAAGCUCUAGAAAACAUCACUCUGUGUCCUCGUCGUUGUCAUCCUCUGCGCCAGCACCAGAUCCAGAUGCUCCAGCGUCUAACGCACCUGUCGCAGGAGGAAUGAGUGGAUGUCGGGAAGAUGACCGCUGAUACGAGGCAUAAGAUGGAGUAGGCUCCCAAAUAUCAUCAUGUCGACACCCCAUCUUAUCCAUCAUUCUUUUGAUACUUAAUUCAAACUUCUUGAUGCUUGACUCAACUUUUCUCCCAAUAUUGUUCACCUUCUUCUUUAAUUUUCGCAAAUCCUCUUUAACUGAUUCCAACGUCGUCGCUCCCCCCGAACUAGAUGAAGUAUCAUAACUCCCUCGGGAUGGAGGCGGAGGAGCAGAGCUAGAAGCUGCUCUCGGUGGAGGUGCUGGGCUAGAUGCUUCAGGAGGUGGCCCCUUGGUCUGAUGGAAUGACUUGAGAGUGCUAACAGACUUAGCCCAAGUCACUGAAUCAAUAGGCCCAAGGCCAACAUCAUACUUGUCACAUGAUGUAUCUACUCCAUUUGCUUGUAGAAUCCUCGUAAUCAGAACAGGGAAUGGAAGUAGAUCCCGUCGAGUGGCACCCUGAAUCACGUGUAUCAUCCUUUGCCAGAUCAGAAACGGGAUGUUGAUGUUCAACCCACAAGCCUGCUCGGGAUGACCAAGAAGAUAUAGCAAUACUAAUCUCUCCCAACGGAUCCUCUUCGUGCCGAUGGUUGGUUGAACAUUGUAGCUCAUGACCAAAGAUAGCAAGUGGUACUCAGGUAAUAAAUCCUUGGAUUCUAUGUAACCAUGAGUCAUGUGAACACUGGCCUUGCAUAUAGCUCCAAGAACGAUAUCCAUGUGAAUUGACGAUUGGAAUCCUCCUGAUGUAUAGAGAAGACCUGUAGUAUCCACACGCAUUCCCAAGAUCUCUCCAAUAGUAUAGGGGGUAACUGGGACUCUCUUUCUACGCACAACAAUCUCGAAAAGAAAAGUGCCAGUCUCCUCGUCUUCAGCAAGUACCUUUCCAUUCAUAUAGAACUCCCAAAUGAGUUCCACACAGAAGGGAGCCUUGGCAGGGACCCGUCCAACUGGCCAAUAGGUGCGCGUUGUAGCAGUCGUCCAAAAUCAGGAACAUCCCGAAUCAGGUCAUUGAAGUUCACGAAGCGUUCAGCUAUGCACGACUUCGACAUAUAUAACCUUUGUCGUGCUGGAGGGACAUCCGCAGCUUGUUUUGUACGUCCCUCACGCGUACGAGAACCACCGCCAUGAGAUGAUUCGCCCACAACACCCUUUCCUUUAGCAGCUCGAGUCGCCGCUUCUUCUGUUUCUUCCUGUGAGCUUGCUUGAUACUCCGGAUCUGAACCGGACUCUCCUGUAGCAGCAUGGGCUCUCUUUGAGGUCCCUCGGCGACCUCGAUCACGUCUACGACCGCUGCCCGCGGCCAUAAGCACCGUCAACACCAACACGAGGAAAAACGCCAUUUUCCUACACCAAAAACAGCAUACAUGGGUAAAAUUUUGAAAACAUUUGUAAAAAUUAGCAAGUAAAUUUCAAAUAUCCUUAGAAUGCAUACUAAUGCUAUUUCAAACCAAUUCAUGCAAAAAAAAUUCAGCAAAAAUCGAAAUUUUUUGAAAAAAUCCCGAAACUACAUGCAUAUUAAAGCAUAAAACUUAGAUCAGCAAAAAAUAACUUGUUUUGAUGUUGUUCAAGUGUUCUACAAGCAAGGUAAUGCCCUAAAACACUGAUCUAUAGCAAAAAAUUGCAUAAAAAACGAAUCAAAUUAGAGAUCAAACUAUAUCUCGAAAUUUUCUGAAAAAUAGGCAAAAACGAGGUUGAAUCAUGAAGUCCGAGCUAAAUACUUACAAAUCUAAGGGGGAAAGCAGUAGAUCUGGAGGAGGAAGAUCCCAGGAGCUCUCAUGACAAGAAAAAUGGUGAUUUAGUUUCGAUUUGAGGCAAAAACGAAGCGCUAUACCCGGUUAUAAGCCGCUCGGGUAUAGACCUUGUAUCGGUACACGGGUCUUGUACCGGUACAAGGACCAAAAUAUGAAAAAAAAAAUUUGAAAAUUAUGGUUUAAAAAUCCAUCAAAUUUAAAUUAAUUUCAUACAAAUUAAGGAUUUUACUCUAAAAAAUCAUAAAAAUGAGAAUAAAUUAUUAUAAGAUUUCAAAAUACAUUUAAACAUCAAAAUUUCAUUAUCAAAAUUGAUCUCAAGUUUCAAAAUCAUCAAGAUGUAACGGUUUACGAAAAAUGAUUUUUUAGAAAUUCGGCAAAAUUGACACCAAUUUGUCGCAAUCCGUUCAAAAUAGAGAUUUAACUAAUAUGAUACCGGGGGUGGCUCUUUGAGCAUCUUUUUAUUUUUUUUUUCAAACUAACACCUUAUAACUCCGAAAAUUCUAAAAUAUUCAAUAUUUUUCAACCUUUUUCGGUUAAUCAAUUCAAUCUUCAUGUGGUAGCUUCACACACUUGCCGGAUGACCGGGGUGGUAGCUCUUUUCUAUAUGUGGUAGUAGUUUUCACACUCCUUUUGGAUGUAACUCUUUCCACAUCUUUUUAAACAUAGGAGUUUUUUUCCUUUUUCUUUAAUAAUUUCAAACUCCCCCUAAAUUAGACAAUCUCACAAUUGAAAAUAUUUUGAGAAAUUUUAGUCUAUUAGCGAAUAUCCAUCUAUCAUAUUCAAACACACAACCAAGAUAGAUUAAUCACCAAGAGAUCAAAUUUGAUUUCAAAAUUUUGAUAAAUAUAUGUAUUACGAAAUCAUAUAUUGAAUUAUCAUUAAAAUAAUAAAAAAUAGAGUAAAAACGAUAAUUAAUAUAAAUUUAACUUAAUAUGAUUGUAAAGUUAAACACCGUUUAAACAACUUUGGAAAAUUUCUCUCCUUAAAAUAAUUAUUCUCAAUCAUCUCCUCUCUCAAAGAAAAAAUUUUUAAAUUCUUAAACACCUUUCCUCAAAUCAAUUUUAAAAACAACUUUCACCCACGAAAAUCAUCAUGUAAUGCAAUGAAUAAAAAUAUGCAACAAACAUCUAUCAAAGCACUACACAAUAAAUUAAAAACAACUAAGACGAGAACCAAGGAAAGAUAUCACCUUUCCGGAUCCAAACUUGUCGGAUCUUUGGUUUUCUCGACUUGUCGACGUUUGGUGUCAUUUGCUUAGAUUUUAGAUCAACCGUUGGUGUUUUCUUCGCUUGAGGCCUUGUUUGAAUUUGUCGUUUUGCAUUAGACAUCCGGUUUGCUUGUGGCUUAGGUAGAACUUGGCGUUGCGGUUUAGAAUUCCGAUUCUUUUGAGGUACUCGACUCACUUGAUUUUUCUUUUGAUUCCACGGGGGAAGUCGAGUUGUAGAUGAUGCCGCUUGAGCUUUAGGAGUUGUCGAAUGAUGUGAAGACCUUGCCGAUUGAUUCAUCUUUUCUUUGUUUGGGCAAUUCCUUUUCAUGUAUCCUUUGACGCCACAUCGAUGACAUGCCUUGUCUUUCAAAGUUGUUGAGACUUUCAAAAUUGAUUUAGAACUCUUCUCCACAAGAACUCUUNCCAAGGAAAGAUAUCACCUUUCCGGAUCCAAACUUGUCGGAUCUUUGGUUUUCUCGACUUGUCGACGUUUGGUGUCAUUUGCUUAGAUUUUAGAUCAACCGUUGGUGUUUUCUUCGCUUGAGGCCUUGUUUGAAUUUGUCGUUUUGCAUUAGACAUCCGGUUUGCUUGUGGCUUAGGUAGAACUUGGCGUUGCGGUUUAGAAUUCCGAUUCUUUUGAGGUACUCGACUCACUUGAUUUUUCUUUUGAUUCCACGGGGGAAGUCGAGUUGUAGAUGAUGCCGCUUGAGCUUUAGGAGUUGUCGAAUGAUGUGAAGACCUUGCCGAUUGAUUCAUCUUUUCUUUGUUUGGGCAAUUCCUUUUCAUGUAUCCUUUGACGCCACAUCGAUGACAUGCCUUGUCUUUCAAAGUUGUUGAGACUUUCAAAAUUGAUUUAGAACUCUUCUCCACAAGAACUCUUUCAUAUCCGAGGCCUAACUUAUCUGUUUGACCCAACCCGAGCAUAUGGUUUAAUUUCUUCGAUCCCGAUGAGAACUUUUGUAUGUCGGAUUGAUGUUGACGAACUUGAUUGGUCAAUGACUUGUUGGAUGUAUGCGAUUCCUCGAAUUGUUGUUCCAAAAAUCCAACCUUGUCUUUAUACGAUUUGAUCGUUGAUUCCGCUUCAUUAAGCUUCUCUAGAAGGUCCGAAUUAUUUUUCAAAAUUGAUUCCCUUUCCUCCUCGAGGCCUUUGUUCGUGAUCUUCAAGUUGUUGUUUUCCUCUUCGAGAUUCAACAAACGACGCCUCAACUUCUUAUUUAGUUUAGCCAUCUUCUUUGAUUCAAUAAGAAGUUGAUUGUAUGCUUCCGCUAUAUCCUCGUCGUUCGAUUCCUCCUCGCUUUCAUCGUUAUCACUCGAAGACACAUGCGAAGAAGUAGACAAAUUGGAAUUAGACAUUAUAGAGGAUAAACACACAACGUUAGACGAAGGCAAAGUAGAUUUAGCAAAUAAAGCAAGAUUUCCAUUCUUUUCUUCGUCACUUGAGCUUGAUUCACUUGAAGUUGUAUCAUCCCACGUCUUUGCUUGCAAUGCCUUCUUAGUAUACGAUUUCUUUAAAGGACAAUCCGUUGCGAUGUGACCGUAGCCUUUGCACUUGUCGCAUCGGAUCUCGCCUUCAAACACAUCCUUUUUUUUAGAAGCCUUUGCACGCUUCUUCUCGUUAGAAGAUGAAGACUUAGAAAACGUUUGUUGCUUAGAUAAUGUAGCCUUGUCAUUCUUGUGCUUGUUCCGAAAAUUUCGACGAAACUUCUUCGUUAAUAGUGCAAGUUGAUGUUCGAAAUCAGCAAGAGAAACAUCUUCAUCGAAAUUUGAAUCCUCAUCUUCUUCCUUCGUCGACUUUAAUGCAAUCCCUGUGCUUUUAGAAAAAGACUUGGAAGAAGAUUGAUUAGUAGGAAAAGUCAUCUCAUAAGUUUGUAAAGCACCUACUAAUUCUUCGACUUUUAUCUCGUCCGGAUGCUUAACCGUUUCGAUCGCGGCAACUUUUGCCCGAAAGCGUUCCGGAAGAGUACGAAGGAUCUUUCUAACCACUUUUGAAUCCGGGAUUUUCUCUCCCAAGUUAGCGCAAGUAUUGACUACGUCUUGUAGACACGUAUAGUACUCGGUAAAGGUCUCGUUUUCAUCCAUACAAAUAGAAUCAAACUUGCUUGUUAGCAUUUGCAAUUUUUGGACCUUUACUAAGCUCGUUCCUUCAUGCGUAACUUGUAGAGUAUCCCAAAUCUUCUUGGCGGCUUCACACGCCGAAACACGAGUAAACUCCGUUUAUGACAAUGCAUUAAAUAAAGCGUUUAUGCCCUUGCCAUUAAACGAAGAUGACUCGUUUUCAUCUUUGGUCCACUUGUUUCGUGGUUUAGGCGUUUCAACAUUAUCGACUUUUUCAAUGGGAUGUUUCCAUCCAAAUUCUAUGGAUUGCCAUACUCGCUCAUCGAUUGCAAUUAGAAAAGCUCUCAUGCGAACUUUCCAAUAGACAUAAUUAGUGCCGUCGAAGAGCGCAGGUCGAUUAAUGUUACCGCCUUCGGCCAUUAGAUAGCAAUAUAUCUAGAUCCCGUAUCUGAUACCAAUUGAAGGUUCUAAAAUAACCCAAGGAUCUAUCUAGAUUGUAUCUAUCACAUAGAGGGGGGUGAAUAGGUGAAAAAACCAAAAACCACAAAUCUCAAUGCGAUAAAAAUAAAUGCUGAAAAUAAAAAUCACACCGAGAUUUACGUGAGAAAACUUCAACUUGGAGAAAAACCUAUGGGACCAACACGCGAAAAAAUAAUUCACUAAGAGAAAAGAUUACAAGGUGAUUACCGACUCCAUGGACUCAACCUCUCUUAACCUUCUAUGAAUCUCGCGCAAUCCUCCGGGUUGUCCACGCCCUCACGUUCGAAUCCACGAACAUCUCGCACACGUCCGAAUCCACAAACGCCACUCGAAUCCACGAGCCCACGAUCCGAAUCCACGAACCGCCGUCAAUCACGCCGAAUCCACGACGCCAUCAUGAAGAACGUCAUGAGUAUGGUGAUCCUUCGCUUAGAGUAUCGAUGAAAAUCAAGGAAGAAGACUUCAAGCGAAGACUAGAUCAAAUCAACAUAUAGCGAAUGCGAAACGAUACCUCGAUUUGAUCUAAAGAGGCUAAUUUGUAGAAAAUAGGUUUAGAACGAAAUACUAGCCUCUAGGGUUCUUUAAUUGUGUAUUCUUAUGAUAGAUGAUCGAUUAGAGAACCCCUAUAGCUUAUUUAUAGACUUUAGAAUCAAAACGGAGUAGGAUUAGAAAGUUUCUUUCCAUAUUCAGCACCUUGUACCGGUACACGGGAAGCUGUCCAGGGUACAGCAUGACGGAAGAUUUUUCUGCGAAGCUUCUGUACCCUGAACAGACUGCAGCUUGUUCCGGAACAAGGCUUGUACUGGUAUAGCCAUAAUGGUUGUACCGGAACAACCAUCGUAAUUCCCUGCGGCAAUAGCCGUUGUCUGUACCGGUACAGAAAAACCCUUGUACCGGUACAACAAUGCAAUUUUUGCUGAAAAUGCAUUGUUUCAAGUUUUACAAGCUCUUAGAAACUUUCUAAUCAAUUACAACUUGAAAAUUAUGAUUCUAAGAUCUAUAAUUAAGUAUAAAUCACCAUAAACAAGAUUUAAAGCUUACCUAAGCAUCGUGAUUCAAGUUUUGCGUGUUUUUCGUCCUUUCCGAUUCUUUGAAAUCUUGGAUUCUUCGAUCUUCAAUACUCCGAUCUGAACUUCUUCAAGACUCCGACUCGACCCACGAAACUUGCCAACACAGAGGACCUAACAUCUUACUUAUUUUAAAACUUUUUAUGAGCCGAGUCCUGAAUCGGCUAUUUCUUGGGUUCCCUUUGCUGACUGUCUUACCGGUCUUUCCUGGUUCCUUGCCCGGUUUGAAGCUAUCUAAGGUGAAUUGGCCUCUUCUCGUGCUGGUGAGUACUCAGAGGUCUGGUACUCUUAUUUGGCUCCGAGAGAUCUGCAUGUGGGGUUAAAAUCGCACUCAAAACUAUUACCAAGCACUGAAGUUUAUUCACCUCAGUAUGUGGCCCGCUAGUUUGGAUUUGUUCAGCCGAUUCCCGCCCCAUCUAAAUUUUUUACAACUAAUACAGCCGAUCAUUGACUCCCUACUAAAGGUAUAGCCGAAGCUGAUAAGAUUUCGGCUAUGGGAAAUCGCCUUCGUCGAUUCUUUAAAUUAGUGAACUUCGGGCCGAACUACACAGGAGUUGCUCUUGCCGGCUAUGCUCCUAUUUGGGAUCAUUUUACUGACCGUACUCUCGACCUUUCUUUUCUUUGGGCAUUCUGUAGAACUAUUCAUCCACUUGUUUCAGUUGAUACUCCUAUCUCAUCAUCAAGAGAAGAAAUAGAAGAAGCUUCUGAGGCCAGGCCUUCUUCUUCUGUAAUGUACUUACCUUUAUUUUAACUUUCUUUUCAAUAUUUCAAAUACUUAUUUUCUUUUUCUGCAGUCAAUUCCAGUUUCUUCAUCGGUCUCAGCUUCAGAAAAAAGACCGAUUGAGACCGCUCAAUCUACUCCUCCGCCGCCUCCAAAGCGGCGUAAGUCAAUUGCUAAAAGGUCCUAUUCUACACGUACCGAAAGUAUUGCUUCGGCUGAUGUAUCAGAGAAAAAAGCUGAAGAAACGCCUUCGGCUCCUAUUCCCGAAGAAACGCCUUCGGUUGAUGCCUCCAAACAAGACUCAGUUCCCAAUGAGCCCAUUGAGAUUGAGGUAUGUAUAUUUGAUUAGUCACUUUAACUCGUAUUAUUUUCUCAACUUGUUUAUCAUUCUUUUAAUAAAACAGUCCUCUCCCGAAAACAAUUCAAGAGCUCGUUUUGCUUCUUCUUUGAAGACGCAAAUGGAUAGACAGCUUCACCAGAAAACUCGUCUUGAAAAGAAACGAGGUAUGGAGAAAAAGAAGAAAUCCGUUGCAGAGACGAGCACGAUGCCAUCACCAGGUGAAACUAUAUCACCUCUUUCUGCCCCAACCCCAAUUACAAUGGAUGACAAAGCAAGUGUACCUGUCGAGCAAGGUUCUGGAGAAGCGCAAGGCUCUGGAGAAGCAAGCACCAUACCUCCUCCUCCAACUCAUGAGACUUCCCUUUCUGCUCCUGAGGAUCCUCUAGCUGCUACUCUUCGUUAUUUAUUGGUUUCAAGUCCCAGUUCCAAUGAGGGGGAUGAUUCUUCGACUAUUAUUGCCUCAUCGGACACUCAACGCAAAUUUGAUGAAUGUCUUAAAAUAUAUAGCAGUGGUCCCCCCCUGUUUAGCUCAAAAUCCGGAGCUAUUUGAUCAGCUGUACGCUCUCUUAUUCGAUUUGGCCGAUCAAGCAAAUAUUACUUCUAGUAUUAAAUAUUUUGUAGAGACUCUGUCGUCUCAACUUUCUUCUUUUUUAGCUCGGCAACAAUCUUUGGGUGCCGAACUUUUAUCUUUAGAUCAACAUUUUUAUUGUGUUGAUCACUUUAAGAGAAAUAUCCCUGAAGUAGCUGCCCCUAUUACUGAAGUAAAUCAUGAAGAUCAGGCUUUGGCCAAUCAAGAAUCGGCUUUACAACAGCGGAUUUUAACCCUUAAAGACGAGUUAGCAGCAGCCGAAUCAACUUUAGCCCAAACCUCUGAGCGCCGACUUCAAUUGCAAAACCAGUUAAAAGCUAAAUGAGCAGAAGGGAUGAAAAUUCAGGAAGAGCUUUCUCAACUCUACAAGGUGCAUCCCUUGAUGAAGCGCCGAAGAAAAGCUGCCGAAGCUGCUCAAGCCAACCUUAUAGCCGAAUGGAACCAACUCAAAAAUUUAUUAACUUGAUUCGGCUUGUAAUGUUCUAACUUUGAUCUUGGUUUUUCUCCCACAUGGAUGGGUAAUAUUUCCUCAAAUACUUUCCAUUAAUAGGUUUUUUAUUUUCUAAAUCAUCUCUAUUCUGCAAGUAAUAUGCAUUUCCUUUUAUGAUUCGGCUGACUUGAAAUGGUCCUUCCCAAUUUGGAGACCAUUUUCUAUAUGUUCGGUCUUUUUGACCGAUUGGAAAAAUCAGCCAAAGUACUAAAUCACCGACGACAAAUGUCUUUGAUCGAACUCUCUUAUUGUAUGCACUACGCACUCAGCUUUGGUAUGCUUGCAUAUUAUCUAAAGCUAUCAACCGAGUAUCAUAUACUUCCUCUACUUUGUCCUUCAUUAAAUUACUGUAUUCAUCAGCCGACAAAUCUUUUUGCUUUUCUGUUUUCAAAGAAGGAACUGUUAUCUCGGCUGGAAUUACGGCCUCAUGUCCGUAAACUAAUUGGAAUGGUGUCAUCCCUAUUGCCGUUUUCACUGAAGUUCGGCAUGCCCAUAAUACUUCGAAAAGUUUUUCAUUCCAUUUUCUCGGAUGCUUUCCGAUAUGUCGUUUCAUAAGGUUGAUAACUAUUUUAUUCGCUGCUUCUACUUGUCCAUUCGCUUAGGCAUAAUAAGGAGAUGAAUAGAGCAACUUUAUCUUUCGAGACUCGAUGAACCGAACGAACUGUCCUCCUGUGAACAUUGUCCCUUGAUCGGUCGUAAUUGUCUCGAAAAUCCCAAAGCGAUGAAUUAUAUGAUCUUCAACAAAAUCAAUAAUUUCUUUUUGGGUAACCAACCGAGUGGGUUUUGCUUCCACCAACUUGGUGAAAUAAUCGACAGCCACUAUUAAAAAUUUAUGACCAGCCGAGGAAUUCGGCUGAAUUUCUCCAAUUAAAUUCAUGGCCCAACCUCGAAAAGGCCAUGGUUUAAUGAUUGCAUACAUCUCAGAGGCCGGAAUUCUCUGGAUUGAGCUAUGAAAUUGACAAUCCUGACAACCUUUGGCAUAUUCUAUACAAUCUUGAUGCAUUGUUGGCCAAUAAUAUCCUAAGUGCCGAAUUGUCCAUCUUAACUUUUUUCCGGCUAAAUGGGUUCCACAUAUUCCUUCAUGUGUUUUUUUCAUUAUCAACAGAGCUUCUUCAGGUCCUAAACACUUUAACAGAACUUCUUCGGCUGUUCUCUUGUAAAGUUGACCAUCUAACAAACAAUAGCCGAGAGCUCUUCUUCGAAUAUUAUAGUCGACCCUUGUAUUAGAAUCUUCCAGAUAUUUGAUUAAUAAUUUUCUUCAAUCUUCCUUCACUUCUAUGGGAGCUAUAAUCGGUCUUCGUACAUGAACCGAAGGUAGCAACCUCCUCUGUAUUAUUAUUGACUCUGACUUCGACUCUCUAUAUCCUGAAGUCGACUGAGCUAGUUCAUUUGCCUUUUCAUUUUUCUGUCUGUUCAAAUGUUCGAAUUCAGUCUCUCUGAAUUCACAUAGUAACUCUAAUGUCUUCCUUAAAUAAUUUUGUAAAUUCGGGUUUUCACAUCGGUAUUCUCCAUUCACUUGUUUGAUUACUAGCUGUGAGUCACCGAUGAAUUUGAUUGACUUUGCUUUUAAUUCUUGUAAAAUUUCUAGGCCAAUUUUUAAGGCCUCAUAUUCGGCUUGAUUGUUAGAGCAGCCGAAAUCUAGCUCGAAAGCAAGUUGGCAUGAAUACCCUUCAGGAGAUUGGAUAACUAUUCCAGCUCCUGCUGAUUCGGCUGUUCUUGAGCUGUCAAAAUAAAGUGUCCAAGGUUGACAACCGACUAAAUUUUGCUUUGGCUCUUCAAUUUCCACACAUGGAUGAUCAGCCAAGAAGUCAGCUAUCGCUUGUCCUUUAACAGCUUUAGCUGGAAUAUAAUUAAGGGAGAAUUCAGACAAAGGCAACAUCCAUUUUCCAAGUCGGCCCCUUAAUACAGAUUUGGCCAACAUAUACUUUACCAGGUCGGUUUUGCAUAUUAUCGAUACCUCAGUUGGUAAAAUAUAGUAUCUUAGCUUUGUUCAUGAAUAGUGUAAAGCCAAACAUAAUUUUUCAAUAGCCGAAUACCGUUUCUCGAUAUCUAAAAGACGUCGGCUCAAAUAAUAAAUGGCUUGUUCUUCCUUUUCUUCGUUUUCUUGGGCUAAUAAACACCCAAGAUUUUCCUCCGCAGCCGAAAUAUACAAUUUCAUCGGCCGAUUUGACUUUGGAGGCAUCAAUACCGGAGGGUUUGAUAAAUAUCUUUAUAUAUUUUCAAAUGCCCCUUUCUAUUCCUCUGUCGAAACGAAUUCUUCUUUAUCUUUUAGCCGAAGUAGUGGGGUAAAAUGCCCUAUUCUUCCGGCCAAAUUGGAUAUAAACCGCCGAAGAUAAUUGAUCUUCCCUAACAGGCUUUGCAGUUCCUUUUUGCACUUUGGUGGCGGUAAUUCUAAAAUCGCUUUCGCCUUAUUUUUAUCAAUUUCGAUCUCUUUUUUAUGCACUAAAAAUCCUAGAAAGUUUCCUGCUGAAACUCCGAAAGCACAUUUCAAAGGGUUCAUUUUCAAAUUAUAUUUUCUCAUUCUUUCAAAGGCAAGUUUUAAAUUAAUCCAGUGCUCGGCUUGUGACUUGGAUUUUACGACUAUAUCAUCAAUAUAUACUUCCAACAUCUUGCCGAUUAAAUCAUGGAAAAUAAAAUUCAUUACCCUCUGAUAAGUAGCUCCGGCAUUCUUUAAACCGAACGGCAUGACAACCCAUUCAAAAGUUCCAAUCGAACCAGGGCAUCUGAAAGCCGUUUUAGCUACAUCACCCUCAGCAAUAUAAAUUUGAUUAUACCCAGUAUGUCCGUCCAUAAAGGAUAGGACCUCAUUACCGGAAGCCGAAUCUACUAACAUAUCGGCUAUUGGCAUAAGGUACUCAUCUUUUGGUGUAGCUAAAUUUAAGUUUCUGAAAUCAAUGCAAACUCUAAGUUUACCAUUCUUUUUUCGUACUGGAACUAUGUUAGACACCCAAUCAACAUAACGGGCCGCUCUAAUAAAUUCGGCCUCAAAAGAUUUUCUAUUUUAUUCUUAAUUUGGAGUACAAUACUCGGCUCGAACCUACGAGCCGAUUGUUUAAAAGGCUUAAACCUUUUCUUAAUAGGCAGCCUAUGCUCUACAAUUUCUCGACUUAACCCAGGCAUUUCUUCAUAGCUCCAGGCGAAGCAAUCCGUGUACUCCUUCAAUAGUUCUUUCAGCUCCUUCUGCUGUCGAGCCGAAAGCUUUGCGCUUACAUACGUCGGUCUCUUAUCUUCGUCGGAUUCCAGAUUUACUUCGAUCAGCGGGUCUUGGGUCUCCAACUUUUUCUCACCGACUUUAAUAGACGAUUCUUCUAGAUUCAAUUCGUUUGCUUGCCUAUUCAUUUUGUGUGAUUUGUCGGUCUCGCUAACCGACUUCAUUUGAUUUUCUUUUUUGGCCUUGUAAACCGAAUCUAUUAUAACUUUUUCGGCUUUAUUAGCCGAGUCAUCAAGCGUUAACACAUCGGCUAUGGAAGCCGAAUCUUCCUUAUAGCCGAUCUUGUUGAUCGGCUUAUCCUGUCGAGGCUCUUGACAAGCCUCUAUUCUCAAUUUUUCGGACUCCAUUUUAACCAUUUUGGCGGCUCAUCGGCUGCCACCAAAGCCCCUUCUUCUCUAAUAAAGAUCAACUGGACUCCUUCUUCUGUAACUAUUACGAAGGAAAUUUGAUCCGGAUCCGCGUCGGCCCAAUUGAUAUGGCCGAUUUCCUCAGUGUUGAUGUCCACCAUUUGGGGCCGUCCUUCGGCCCGGAUUUCUUCAACUUUAUCUCCGAUCCACUGGAAUAAUUUUCCGUGGAGUGUAGAAGGCACGCACUCAUUUGCAUGAAUCCAAUCAUGCCCGAGUAGCAGGUUAUAUUGACUAUCUGCAUCAACCACAAAGAAUGCAGUUCGUAAAGUUUUAGAACCUUCCGUGAUCUCGGUCGUAAGCACCCCUCGAGCUUGCUGAUCAUUCCCAGUGAAGUCGGUCAUGAUCGUGUCAGUGGGUUUCAACUCAUCUUCAUCUUUGCCCAACUUCUUAAAGAAUGCAGUGGGCAUGACAUUUGACCAUCGCUCCGCCAUCUACCAUAACUCGGCCUACUGGCCGACCUUCAAUUAAGGCCCGAAUAAAAAGAGGCCUUACGAAUCUUGUCUGCAUGGCCGAUGGUUUCUCGAAAACCACCACAUCGGCCGGUUUGGCAUCUCUAACUGUAAUUGAGCCACAUUGAGCCCAACUUCCUUCUCUACCUCCUCAUACUCAGUAUACUCUGCUUUAAAAGACUGUGGCAGAGUAUAUACCAUAUUGACAUCGGCUGGUCCUUCAUCAGCCGAUUUUUCUUUAAUUCUCUGUUUCUUUUCUUCAGAUUCUUUAGCCGUUUCGGCAGAAGAAUCACUCUCCAUUUGCACCUCCCUCUCCUUAGGAGGCUAUCUUUCUCUCUUGAUGAUUGUCUCGAGAGAAGCUAUUUUAUCUUCUAGCUCCCUUCUUGUCAUUUUCUCUUCUUGUUCGGCCGGUAUUGGCCGUUUAAUCUUUGAUUUUAGCCAAGGGAUAGGUGAUGAACUGCUUGCUUCAUGAUCAUUCCGCAUCGGGCGAACAAGGUGUGGAGGUUCAUCAGGUCGCUUCCAUACGUUCAAUUUCAUCCCCUUCGCUUCAUCAUAUUGUUGUCUGGCCUCGGCUUGCAUCCUUUGCUGCCGACGCUUUUGUAUUUUCGUUAACAUCGGCCCUUGCCAUCUGGCCGAUGGUUUCACUUCUACCUCAUGCCAUUCAUCCAUUGGAACAUUCGCCGGUAUCUUUACCGUCUUCAAAUGGUUUUUCAAAAUUUCUCUUCUCUCCCAAGGUCUCGGCUAAGGCUGAAUGCCGAGUUCGUUGACUAAUCUCCGACCGAGAAAUUCUAUGUCUCCCUCGGUCAUUCCCUCGAAUUCCGGUUCUGGUCUCGGCCUCGUUUGAUGCUGCCAAUGUGGCCGAUAUCCAGGAAUUCUUGGCUUGGUGCCGAAGGGUCUACCCUGGUAGUCCCAUCGGCUUUGACGCUUGCCACGCCUGUUGUUGUAAUAAUCAUGCAGAAUCUUCUGCAUCAACAUGUCUUGUUUGCGUUGAACCGAUUUGACUUCCGGUUCAGUGUCAUUGGAGGCCUCGUCUGAGCCUUUUUCUUCUUGGUCUUCACCAUCAGGAAUGUCAUUCCAUUCCUCGGAGAACGCCAUCAACUCAUUCCAUUCGUUCCCUCUUUUCUUGGCAUUGACAAUAGCUUCCCAAUCUUUCUUCGUAAUUUCGGCCUUGCACCUUAUGCAAAGCCGAAGAUGUUUUUUGGCAUGUGCCACGUUAUCUGCGAUCACCUGGUCCGUAGUCUCUUUCCCUUUAUCAUUCACCAUAUUGACCUGAAAAGAAAACGAACUUUCGUUAAUUACCUUAUUUUUAUUUUCUUGGUCGGCUAAUAUGAGCCGACCUUCAUAUAUUUCUUCUUGGAUCUGCCUUUUUGCAGUCGCUUUUUUUUUUUCUUUCAUGCUCACAACGUUGACCUGUGAUGGAAAAGGGUUCUUAUCAAUUUCCAUAUCUUUAUUUUCUUGGUCGGUAAAGAUGAGCCGACCCUCGUUUAUCUCUUUUUGAAUUUGCCUCUUGAAAGCAGUACAUUCACUAGUUUUAUGGCUCCAUGAAUGAUGCCACUUACAAUAUCUUCUGCGUUUUAGUUCUUCUACAGGAGGUAUAGUUUGGCCCUCCUGUAGUUUAAUUCGUCCAUCCUUUAGCAACCGAUUAAAAAUUAGAUCGGUCUUUACUAUAUCAAACGAAUAACUAAAUGCAGACACAUGUGCUUUCGCCUCUCUUGACUUGGCGGGUCUUAACAAAGCACAUUUGUAUGGUUGAUUAUUUCUCACCAUCUCGGCAGCACAAAUUUCGACUUCAUCAGCCGAAUCCUCAUUUUCUUCAGACGAAUUCGGCUCUUCAUGAGCCAAAGACUCUUCAAGGAAAGAGAUAUUUUUCUCCUUUCCUUUGUUCCAAUCUUUGUUUCAGCUCCAUCUGGGCCGAUCUUCAUUGUUACCUUUUCGAAAUUGCUCAUAUUGAGCAACUCGAACUCCCAAAUCAAAAAGAUUUGAAAAGAAUUUAUCCUCAAAAUGGUCUUUAAUUUUAAAAUACAUGCCGUUGAAUGCCAUUUUGGCAAAUUUCGAUUUUGGCAUUCUUACGAAACAACGGCUUCGAGCAGUUUUGAAUCGGUUCAAAUAUUCAUCAACCGAUUCUCCUGUUCUUUGUUUGAAUUGAGCCAAAUCCGCAACUGAUAGUUCUGGCUCUGUUUUAUAAAACUGUUCAUGAAAUUUACUUUCUAACUCGUCCCAGUCUCGGACGGAAUUAGCAGGUAAACUCGUGUACCAAGUGAAAGCCGUCUUAGUCAAUGAGGUAUUAAAUAACCUUAACUUUAAAAACGGAUCUGCCACGGCCUCACGGCACUGAGCUGUAAACCGCGCGAUGUGCUCGACCGUAUUUUCGGUCUCGUCGCCGGAAAACUUGUCAAACUUCUUCGGCAUCUUCCAAUUUGCCAGAUAUGGGUGUUCUAUAUCUAUAUUUGCAGGAUAUGGUGACCUGAAUACGGGCCGCAUUGCCGGCCUUGCUCCUACUCCGAAAGUAUUCCGGAUGGCUUCUUCUAUUUGCACAUAAAUCUCAUUAUUAAUACCCUGUAAAGGGGCUUGCACUGGUGCCGGGUUCGGUGGUUGUAGCGCACCGGGAUUUUGCACCAAAGGAUUAACCCCUUGUGCAUUUGUAGCCUGCCCCCUAGCCCCUGCAUUUUGGGACUGGUACACUGCUACUGGAGGAGGUGGAGGUAAUCCCCAAGCCACUUCUGGCUGUUGACCGGCAUUAACGACAGCCUGUCGAUAAGCCACUUGAUAUGGUGCCCCCUGGUACUAGGGCUGACCAUUUACAGGUGUCACAGGAUUUUGUAACACUGGUGUUAUCAUAGGCGCUUGCAGGCCUGUUAUCGGUUGUUCGUUCCGAGUUAACAAUUGCCCUAUUCGGGCGAUGUUCUCGUUAGAGACCGUUAUUGUGGCCAAAACGGCAUCCAGCCUUGCAGUACUCGCAUGACUGUUUUGGUCCAAAACUUGCAGGACCCGAGUCAUUUGCCCAAGCGCUUAGGCCAGGCUAGGCUCUUGUUGGCCAGAUUGACUACUGGUCUCACCUUCAGCGGGUAAGACUGCUUGACGCUGUACAACAUUCUCUGAAUUACUGGGCUGUUUACUCCCAGAAUUUCUAGGAAUAGCCCUAUUACGAAGAUUCAUGGCGUUAUCAUCAGCCAUACUUUAUAUAAAAUGCAACUUACCUUAUAUUAGGGUCCCACCGGGUAUGCCAAAAAUUGUUGGUAGCCGAAAUCUCAAAUCCCUGACCCGGUCAAAGAUCCUCCUCGAGGAGCGCGUCGGGAUACGAAACGGCUGUGAAUAGUGACCUUCGAAGUUUGCGCCCUUCGAUUGAUCAAGCGAUUAGGCUGACGAGGGAUCGGGUCAGCCGGGUUCGAAACCUCUACAGCAAAUUCGGUUCGGCUAGAUGAGCCGAAUGAACAAAAGAAGUCAGAAUUUCAGCCAAGGAAUGAGUCGAAUGGCUAAUACAGCACAGGAACUGGUCGGCCUGAAGAGCCGGACACUGCCUUCUAUUGAAAGAGAACGGAGAAAGUACAGGAAAGAGGGUUUUAGUCUACAGCGGAGUGAUGCCCAAAGGGCAGACAGACUCCAGGAUGCUAAGUUACAGGAACUACUCCUAGGGAAAGCAGUAAAUGCGAGAAAGAAAGAUGCAGGGAAAAUAAGGUUGGUCUUUUGUGCGCAAUGGCCAAAACCUCUUUUUAGGGUAUUAUUACCCUAUUUAUAGAUAGCCCCCUUGGUCAGUUAUUGUUCUUACACGAUCGGCCACUAUCUCCUCAUAUUCCGAACCACUUCUAGCCAAUCGGAACCGCAUGUAACUGCUUGCGGUUACCGUAACUUCCUUCAAUUGGCGCGAUACACUUUUCCGAUGCUCCCGAUGCACGACCGAAUAGAUGCUUUUGAAGGGAAUAUUCGCACCGAUCAUCCUUGGCAUCAAUUGGCUCAACACGGUGUAAAAGAAUCGGAAUUUGUUGAAUUUUUGAUAGAAAAUUCUAUUCACUACAUAGAUAAAGAUCAAUAACUCCGAUCUUGAAUUUGAAGGAUCCGAUUAUCCUUUUUAGGAUGUCGUUCGAUUUUGACCGUUCAUUUUAUGCCCACUUGAUGGACUUUAUUAUGAUUUCAAAAAUUUACAAAAUUUAUUUUCUAGAAGUUUCAAAUACUCUAGAUCAUAUUUAACGGAGUGGAUCGUCGAUUCGGAAACUCCAUCAUUGAAAACAACUUAUGAGUAUGAGGGUUCCAAUACUCAUAAUGGUAUAGUAGCCACGGCCUAAUAUAUAUAUAUAUAUAGAGAGAGAGAGAGAGAGAGAGAGAGAGAAAGAGAGAGAGAGAGAGAGAGAGAGUCCGGCUGCUAUGCUAUCGAUAGCACCAAGCACUUGGUGCUAUCAAGUUUUCUACCGUUAGAUUAAUUCCUUUGAUUAUUUUUUACCCGUUAGAUUAUACUAUUCAACCAACCACCCACUCAACCCCAGGGGGCCCACAUCAUCCUAACUGCAUAUUUCUCAAUCCAAGGGCUAAAAAUUCAAUAGCACCAAUAACUUGGUACUAUUGAUAGUAUUCCAGCCUAAUUAUAUAUAUAUAUAUAUAUACUAGUUGAAUGUACGUACAAAUGCGCGUAACAAUUAAUUAUUUAAUAAUUAUUUUAAAUUAAUAUGAAAUUGUACAUCAUAUUUAUUAAAAAAUUUACAAUUUUUUAAAAAGUAAAUUUAUUUAUUAUAUACUAUUAGAAAAUACCUACCAUAUUUUGUAAACAAAUAUAUAUUAGUUUUUUUUAUUUUAUAAAAAUUAUAUAUAUAGUGUAGAUAUAUGAUUACAUUUAAAUUUUCUUUUCGAUUAAAUUUGCAUUAUAGUGUUUAGAGUAUAGGAUAUACCACCUGAACUAGUUAUUCGUUUUCGGAUAAAUUUGAAAGGAAAGAAAUUAAUAUUUUUGAUAAAUUUAAUAUAUAGUUGUUAGAUAUGAUAUACAUUAGGUUAUAGAUAUACAUUAUAUAUUAUUUUACAUUCUAAUAUAUUUAAAAUUUAAAUAAGAUAUUUUAAAUAAUCAAGUAUCAAAUUAACAGUUAAUAAUAUAAUAAAAUAUUAGUAGAUCGAAUAGGGAUCAAUAUAUAUAUAUAUAUAUAUUAUAUAUAUAUAUAUAUAUAUAUAUUAUAUUAUAUAUUAUAUUAUAGAUAGAGAUAAGGAGAUAUUCUCCGGUAGGCAAAGAAUUUGGAUAAGCAUAAAUUUUUUUCUCUUGUAAAACAAAGAGGAAUUAAAAGUUUGUUUAAUUCUGUUAUUUAUUUUACGUAAUGAAUAGUGGAAUUAAUUUUUUUUCCUCCAAAAAAUGGGUUUGUCGACAGACCGAAAUUUGAAAUACGUUCUUCUAUAUAUACUAGUAGAGUGCACGUGCAAUGCACAUCACAUAUUUAAAAAAAUAAAAAAUAUUUUUUUUUCAAAAUAAUUAAAAUUGGACAUAAUUGAUAUGUAAUAUAUAAUUUUUAAAUAAAUUAUGAGUGAAUAUUUAUAAUUUAGUAAUUUUAUUAUAUUUGCAUAAAAUAGUAAUAAAAUUAUUGUCCAAUUGAACAUUUAGAUAAAUUAAAUUUUAGAUCUCUACAUCUGGCCAUAAAAAAAUUUCUUUUAUACUACUUAUAAAAGAGCCACUUUUUUAGGACAAAAAAUUACAUUUAUAUCUAAAAUCCCUUUAAUUUUAUAAAUUCUACCAAAAAUGAUUUAAGUAAUACAAACUUUUUAUAUAAAAAAUGAUUUAGGCCAUGUCAUUCAAACAAUAUGCAAAAUAUUAUUAAUUAAUAAAAUCUUCUUGGAAUAUUUUUUUUCUACAAAAUUUUUAGUUUCUAUGCAAACCUUCCACAUUAGAGAUCUAUUUAAUUGAUAAAAAAUUAUAUAAUUUAUUUAGAUAAAAAUGUAGAACUCUUCUUCAUUUUUAGACAAUUUCUCCUAAUUUUUUUUAUUAACACGCACAUAGCUACUAAUUUAGUCAAAUAAACUAAAAAUUUAACCAAAAUUUUUAAAUUAUAAAUAGUAAAUACUAAAUUUUAGAAAAUAGAUUAAUUAACUACUCUAUAUCAAAUAAAACUGAAUUAAUUAAUUAAUAAAAAAUUAAAGUCGAAAAGAUAUCGAUUAAAAAUAAAUACAUAAUUGUUAAGAGCUCUAUUUCAAAGUCACCUAUAGUGAAGGGGAUUUAUUUCAAAGUCACCUAUAAUUAUGUGGGUUUCACGAUCUUGAAUCAUAUGGUUCAAUUUUUUAUAAAAGUUGUGAUACAUAAUGUCACACCCCGGGAUCCCCUUUUUGUUUGAAACACAGCAGAAAAGCGUUUAAAUUUUUUUUUUGAAAACCUGACCCCAGAGUAUGCCAGAUCCGCCACAAAUACAGGGAAUCCACUGUUCACACGGACAGAGUCUCCCCUGUAUUUGCACGGCGUCGCACAAGUACAAAAGUACAAACAGUAUACGACCACAACUAAAUGAAUAUACAGAUAGCUAUACAUUCAUACAUUCACCAUUCACACCGUAGUUUUACAUUCGAUGUUUAAACAAAAGUCCACGAAAAAUCUUUUGAAAACUGUUCCAUACGCGAGAACUUUUAUCUUUUUAUAAAAGCUACCACGAG